GUUUGAUGCCUUGUCUAAACAUUCUUAUCUUGUACCAAAAGAAGGAGAUGUAGCUUUUGAGCAACAAAGAAUGGUUCUCUUGAAGCUAGAGCAAUUUCAUCUUCGAGCAAUAAAAUCAACAUUGAUUGUUGAUUUAACUUUUCUCAAGCAAGUUCAGUUAAGUAUGUCUUUAGACCCUCUUGUUCAUGAUAUCAAGAAUAAUUCUUCUAAAUCUCAUGAUGCCUCUAAAUUCGAAUUCAAGAACAACCUACUCUAUUUUGAAGAAUGUCUAUAUGUUCCAGAAGGAGAAGCACAUUUACGUGUUCAUCAAACUCAUCACGACUUUCUAGCAGCAAGACAUUUUGGAUACAAUAAGACUUUGGAGUUGAUAUCUAGGGAUUUUUGGUGGCCUCAAAUGUGGAAGGCAACUGAAGAUUUUGUACAAUCAUGUGAUGUUUUUUCAAGAUCAAAAACUCCUCAUCAUCGAUCUUUUGGACUUCUUCAGCCAUUAUCCAUUCCAGAACAACCAUGGUCUUUUCUUUCUAUGGACUUCAUCACAAAUCUUCCAAGCUCAGGUUUUUAUGACUCUAUAUUUGUGAUAGUAGAUCGCUUCACCAAGAUGGCAUAUUUUGUGCCAUGUACAAAAUCCAUCACGGGUUAAGAAACAACUAAGCUUUUUAUUGAUAAUAUCUAUCGCUAUCAUGGAUUACCAAAGGAUAUUAUAUCGGAUAGGGGAAUUCAGUUUGUAUCAAGAUUUUGGAAAAUUCUUUUUAAGAUUUUACAAAUGGAUAUAAAACUAUCUUCGGCUUUUCAUCCUCAAACUGACGGAUAGACAUAACAUGUAAACCAAGUCUUGGAGCAAUACUUAAGAUGUACCAUCAACUAUCAACAAGAUGAUUGGACAACUCUUUUGCCAUUCGCACAGUUUGCUUAUAAUAAUACGAUGCAUUCUUCUACACAACAAACACCUUUCUUUGCCAUUUAUGGUUAUCAUCUACAACUUGACAUGUUUGAUUUUUCAAAAGUUGAUAAUCCUGCGGCAGAAGAUAUGGCAAAUCGGUUGUCAAAGUUACAUUCAACAAUGAAGGCGUAAUUAAAAGAAGCUCAAGAAUGACAAAAGAUAAAUACGGAUGUCUAUCAAAAGAAACAACUACCAUUCCACAUGGGCGAUGAGAUAUGGUUACUUCGUCGCAAUAUCAAGAUCACUCGUCCUUAUGAUAAGUUGGACUAUCGAAGGCUUGGACCAUUUUCUAUUUCUGUAGAAAUCAAUCGAGUUGCAUAUCGUUUACAUCUACCAGAGUCAAUAAAAAUCCAUCUAGUAUUCCACGUAUCUCUUUUUGAACCAUACAAGAUAGUGGACAUACCAAGAAGAAGACAAGUUCUACCUCCUCUUAUAGAAGUGGAGAAUAAUGAAGAGUUUGAAGUGAAAGAAGUCAUAGAUUCAACGCUACGUCGAAAUAAAUUGAAAUAUCUUGUCCAUUAGCACAGAUAUGAUAUUAGUGAAUGCACAUGGGAGCCAGUAAAGAAUCUUGUAAAUGCAAUAAAGGCGGUCGAGGCUUUUCAUCGACGACAUGCAUCAAAAUCAAGAUAAAAAUCUUCCUUAUAAAAGAAACAAGAUCUAGAUAAGAUAACAUUCUACUUUUAAUCCUUAUUUGUAGCUUCUUUGUAGUUGUAACGCUAAAGAGAUGGAGAAUCAAUAACUAGCGGAUUUGACUCAAGAGCCUUCAUUUGCUGACCUACCAGACAAGACAUUACGAUUGUCACAACUUUCAAGAUGACACAAUCGAGAUGAAGAUCUUCAAGAACGACAUAUUCUUCUUCAAAUAGAUGGUCAGAUACAACGUAUUUAAUAUCACGACCUUGGAAGAGACUCCCGAUAUUUGGUGAUUUUACUAGAAGUAGAAACAACUCCUGAUGGUGUUCCAAAUGUUUUAUUCAAAGGAAGUAAUGAAGGCCUCAACAAUGAUCAAAUAAUUGGGUGGUCUUCCCGCCUUGGUAUGGGACACUACCGAUGGUUGAGAGGCCCUAUCAAUCAUCUUCGAAGAAAACAAAGAUGAGAGUAUGUGGCGAAUAUAAUUUGUCGCAACAUAUGAUGACCGCUCCCUAUGGAACUCGUCCAUAGAAGGGAGGGUAAUGUCAUGGACAUACUCAUGUAAGCUAGUAAUUACAUAUAUAAAUAAGUAGAAGUAAGUAAAAGUAGAUAAAAGUAAGAUAAUUCUAUAGUAUUUGAUAUGGAAGCUUUCUAGAAGCUUUAUAGACACUGCUUUGACUUCAUAGGUGUCUUUAAUUGACUUUUUGGAUUAGAAACGUGGUCAACAAGUUGGCCAUGUGCCACACAUGUUGUUAGCUUGAAGACCAAGCUAAGUAUGUGGCCUACAUGUAAAAAAACUUGCCUUGUAAGUCAAGGCAAGUGUCCUACAAAGUCAAUACAUAUUGGAGGUCCUAUAGAACAUCGCCACGUAGCCCCUAGUUAGAUAGUAUAUAUAGAGACAAGAGUGAAGCCUUCUUCACUCUUGUCAACUACUUUCUUAUUUCUUGUCUAGUUUCAAGAGUCAUCAUGUUUUCUAGUCUUUGACAAUAGCCAUUCUAGAUCAAUAUAUUAUCACCUUUGAUUGAUUUCUAAGUAUUUUCGAGUGACACAAGAGUGUAUUGAGAUUUUCUUCUUUUGGAGUUCAUGUCCUUGAUAGGGAUGGAGGCUAGAGGUUAGAAAUGUCAAGAACAGAGGCGACUGUUGAGAACAAAGGAGUAGUUGAGAAUAGGAGAAUAGCUUAGGAACGUGGUAUGUGGGUCGAUUGAAUAAAAAUUUGGAUUGCUUUAUCAUUUUCCUAUAUUUAUGCAAAUAAAGUUGAAUUUAAAAAAAUUCACAUAAAAGCAAGGAAUUAAAUUCUUAUAAUUCAAUUUUUAUACAACAAUUCUUAUUGUAAUUGACAAUACUUUUAAAAUUCCAAUAAAACUUUGUUAUUCAAGAAUUUUAUUUAUAAUGAAGAUAUAAUAUGAAAUAUAAUAUAAUAAAUAUACUAUAAGAACUAUAAAAACUAUAAAUAUAAAUAUAAAAACUACAUGUAGAUAAAUUAAGAUAAAAACUAUAAAAAAAAUUAAAUAUAAAAAUAAAAAUUUCUAUAUAUAAAACUAUAAAAUGAAAAAAAUGAUAAAACGAUUUUAUUUCUUGUAAAAUUCUAUAUCUUAUAAAACUUUAAAACUUUAAAACUAUAAAUAUAAAAAUAUAAAGAUAUUUGAUAUAACUAUAAAACUAUAAAAAUACUACAAAUACUAUCUACAGUGAUCAAAUACAAACUGUAAAUACUGUCUUUACAUACUGCAAAUACUGUGUUUACAUACUGAUAAUACUGUGUUUUAAAUACUGGUCCAAGUAAGGAGAGGUCUGUAAAGCUCCAGCUUGUGAACUUCCCAACAUAACUUUGCUGCGAAAACUUCUCGUCGCAACUUUCUUAAUCCCCCAAUUGCGCCCAGGAACGUCGUUUCAAGGGCUGUGAGGAUAAGGCGUAAACUAAACCGCUUAGUAAGUCACAUAUCACAAUCUUCUUUGAUGAAUUGCAAAUCAGAAGUACAGACCUGCACUGAAAUCUAGAUUGUGUGGUUGCAAUGACUCGUAAUAAAUGAGCGUCGUCGUCGUCGAUUGUAAUAAAUGAGCAAACCUGUGGAACCAAAACUCCUACAUCCCUGUGAGCGCCAUCAAACCACAACUCAAAAUUCAUCGCACACAAAAAAUAAAAAUAAAAAUAAAAAAACGAAAAAACUCCGCAGCUGUGAACUCACCAUUCGAACACUUCUGCUAUCUGAAAGAACUCCGACACGUUCACUCAACCACAACCUCUUGACUCAAUCGUGCGCUUCGAAAAAAGCGCAGAUGUGACUCAAACACUGCCAAGGAAGAGUCCGGCAAGCAACUGACAAAUUUAGCUACAGAAUUCAACAACCUUUGUUCCCAACAACGAACAGGGAAAGCCUAUUGUAUCCCGCAACAGGGACGCGCGAUUCUGCCACGUACCGCACACUCGUCAGUGAGAGCGACGCCGAAGCUUCUGUGAACGCCGUUGCCACGGAGUUCGUAAGGCGAUUGCUCCGUCUUAAGCAAAAGCCAAUUUCUUCACUGAUUUCACUGAUUGUGAACUGAAAAUGCUGAUUUUAUCAACAAAUCGAAGUUUACAUCGUCUGUAAGAGAAUUACUCGAUUCAUUGUUAUUAGGUACAGGAUGUGAACCUUCCUAUUUUCAAAGAAUCAAAUUUUCAAAUUUUUUCUCCUAGAUAGUGCUCGUCAAAAUCCACGCCCGUUCCAUGUGACCACGUCGUAAAGCUUGCUGAGCCUUCCCCGAUGUAUUCGCCUUCCAAUGCUUCUUAGACUUCAAGUGAUUUGUACAGCAAAAAUGAAAACAUGAGCACAGAAGCAUACGUUGUAGUUGUUGAUAUAUUCAUAAUAUGUAGAUACCUUUUCCUAUUCAGGAAUUGGAUCGGACCAACUCGGUCCUCACGAAGAAUAGAACUCCACUUGCAUUGGGAACGCUUAUGGGAACUCUUUUAGGAACGUCUUCAGAAAACUUAUCGUCAAAAGCCCUCGUCUCCGUGGCGGCCUGUGCUAACGGAUUCUCUUCCAUAUUACCUCAAUCGCUGCCCGGCAUCCAAAGCUACCCCAGGGACAAAGCCCUGAAGGAUCCUGGCCUGCCCCCUACCUACCCGUAGAAAGAUUCGUCCUGCCCGGCUGAGCGAGAGGUCGAGAAGCAUAAUAAGCUCUCGACUCCUUCAUGCCUUUUUUUCUCGCUUUGCAUUCCAGCCACACCCCCGCAUCGCCGGCCGAUUUCUUGCACUCGUUUUCGCCGUGGUCGCAUUCCUCACCCUUGGCCCCCUUGUCCGGUAUGUGCGCACCUCCCUCCCUCCCGAUCUCAUUUUCGCAUCGUUGUUUUGGGUGCAUGGAUGUUGAUUCUAGGGGUUCGGAGGGUCUUGCAGAGUCGAGUGUUGUUACGAUUCGCAAGUUGUGGGCUGUUGAGAUUUUGGAUAAUAGGUGUUCAGACCAUCUCUGCGAGUUUGGCUUCAUGGCUCCACAUGUGGGUUUGUCUGUGCAUUGUGUAACAUGCAUGUGGACCCGUUCGAUAGUGUUAAGGUCCAGUUUCGGUUUGGGUGUGAAGGAGGGGGUGGUGGUUGUUGGGCUGUUGUCUUAAUGCUGAGGUUGUAGUAACCUAGGUAGGUAUCAUUAAAAGAAUGUUGCGUGCUGCUCAUUAGGAGCCAUGGUGAUUAGUGGCCUUCCUCGGCCUUUUCCCUUGGUUUUUCGAGACGGCUUAGUGCCAGGAGGUGAGGCAUUUUUGUCCCCCUUCCCCCACGACUUAAGAGGCAUAUGAACCUUCAUGAUACUCAUAUUGUUUGAGCGGGCGACGAGAUCGUUGGCUGAGAUAAAGGGUUAGAAGUUGCAGUGGUGAUACACCGUGACGGUUGUUGAGGGAUGGCGUGCUGGUUUUGCUCGUUGUCGAAGCCGUAAAGUGACUAAUCGCGUGUCAUAAAGUUUGAAACCGCAUGUUUGGGUGUGGUGUCUGAAGAUCUAUUCCGGAAUGUAUUUCUGGAUCUGUAAGUACACGAGUAGCGCACAUGUUAAAUGUCGAUUGCUAAAUGCUGCCUUUCUCUUCUUCUCCUCUUCUCUCUCUCUCGCACACAGACACACACAGCGUAGGCUGUGGCAAAUCCGAAUGAAUGGGUCAGCGCACGCUGCAUUAGGACUUCUGAGACACACUUCAGCUUAGAGGGAGCUUUAUCACAUUAGGAGAUAAAGACUCAGUCGUCGUGGUGCAAACCUUCUUUGCCAGGAUGUCAGGCUAUGAGGCAGAAGUGCGUCGUGCCCCUCGCAUAAUAGACAGUUCAAAGGCUAGGUCUUUUUUGAGGUACGGACCGACGCUCUCGGUGUAUAAUGUAGCCUGUCUUUAACCAAAAUUUUCGAAUAGAGAAACACCGUCUUCAAUCUUCAGCACGGUCAUUGCUGUGGUUCGUGGCUUAAGUUAUUUUGAAUCUCUCUCGGAUCGCUUGAAUUCCGUGCCUGUUAUUAGUAUAAUUUUUGGAGCAGCACCAGUUGGUGUCACGAAGGGCGGCCCAAAGAGAGUUGCCCGCUGUUUCCUUCCCUCUACUAUCAUACUACCACCAGGAAACCAUACAUGCAGCAGUCUUCGCCUUGCCCGACUGCUUACAUUUAUUUCUGUUAUUUUAUUCUAUUUUGGAAUCAUGAACGAUAUGCUGAACCUUACACCUUGGGAAAGUUUGAUACCAGUCGUGUUUUAUUGGUCCCACCUCAUCCAAGCUUGUCGAUGAAACCACCCAUCCUCUUGUUGCGAUGUAUGUCUAGUUUAUCCUUCGUUUUCGUGGCACGGGACAAUAUUAGGCGUAGGUACACGUACGUGAAUCUAGUUACAUUUGGAAUUUCACGUUAUUGCUGGAGUUGAGAUUAACAUGAUCUUGCACAGUGUCAUUAGAGAGGGAAUCAAACUAUUUGACGCAACACGGAAAACAAUCUCAGGUUCGUAAACCGCUUAUGGCAUGCAGAAAAUAUUUGUUAACUUCUGCUUUACAAUCUGUAUGUGAAUCCACAUAUUCUGAUCAGAUGUGUGGAAUAGUGGAAAGAGCGGCGUGAAAUAGGAUUAUUGGUGUGUCAAUGCGGUCGUGGUCCUCAAGGGAGCCAGCAAUAAAUCUGAUGUACGGUCUCUGGUCCUUUUGCAGGAUCAUCUUACCGCACACUUGUAUAUACAUGAGGCUGCUGUACAUGAAGAGUUUAAUUUUGUACACAUACACCCACGGUGUCUUUGGACUUGGAGCAAUAUAGGUUUUGGAAGUUGUUGAAACUGGGAAUGCGGUAACGUGCUUGGGUAAGAGUGAUAGACUGAAGACGGGGUUCGUUGGGGCUGGAAGCGCACGAAUCAGCAAAACUGGAGAUCGCAAGGAACCUAGGUGGUGUCCAGCACCUGGCUGGGGCCUGGAACUCGUUGGAGAGCCGUCCAGAGAUGAACGAGAGGAGACGACCUUUGUCGGGAUUUCGAGUGGAGGGAAACGAUGAGGAGGUGAUUUGUCCGAAACCGCGGCGACCAACGAACGUGUCGUGUCCUGUAAACGAGUUGAUGAAGCCUCCAAGGCGGCGACGAGGGUACGUGUGGAGCAUGUGUGGUUUGGUGUGGGUAACAUGAUAGGAGAGGUGGUAUUGGGGUGUAGCGUGGUAUGGGGAUGGAUAGAGUGUUGUAUGGGGCGUGGUGCUGUGACGGAACAUGAACCGAGUCGUGGUGUGCUUUGUUGUGGCGGUUGCAGUCAGGCGACGGUGCGAACAGAGGGAGAUGCGGGAUUUGAGUUAUUGGAUAUACUUCUGAGCAAGGUGAGUGAUCAGAGACCGGUGCGGUGUGGAUUCGGGAAUGCGGCGGCGUGCCAUUGCGGUGGGGGGUUUGUUGUAUUUUGUGUGUGUGUGUGUGGGGGGGGGGAUGAGUGGUAAUAACGGGCGUGUUACGUGGUUUUGGGGUAGUUGGGGCAGCGGUGGUACAGGAUGCGGGGUGGUAAUGUGUGGGCGUACUGUGGUGCAGGGUGGGUGUGGGGACGUAUCGAAUUUUGGGUGUUCGCCGCCGUACUUCUGCGGGUCGCCUCCGAGUCGGUCGGGGAAUCCGCUGAUUCACGACGUGCAGUUCCUGCAGAGAGCUCAGUCGGUUCUGUCGCAUCAGGUGUCGGGUCGCGGGCCGAAGUCUUUCGGCGGGAAUCCGAUGGUGCGAGUGGAGGGGUUUGCGUCGGGCGGUGCGGACUCGCGGUCUCGAGUAUCGGCACUUGCGUGACGGUAGGGUGGGGGUGGAAGUGGAGACGUUGUAGGUAGCGAGAGAGAAAGAGAGAGAGAGAGAGAGAGAGAGAGAGAGUGUGAUAUUGGAGAAGGCGAUGCCAGUGGGAGGGCGAAUAGAUUUUUGGUAAUGAUUUUGUGACGCUCCAAACGCGGUCAGAUGAAGUCGAAGGUGCACACAGCGGAAGCGGUGCUGGGUGUGCACGAGACGGCCCAGAGGAAGUCCGAGGAAUCAGGUUUGACUGAUUUGGAGGUUGGACACGCGCGCAGCGGUGUAGAGGCGUGGUCGAAGGAUCCUGGGGGAGGUGGCUUUUUUUCGAGUUUGGAGAGUAUUUUUCUUUUUAUACUUUUUUUAUAGAAUAUUUUUUCGCAUAGUUAUUUUGGAAGUAUUUUCUUGGUGACUUUUUCUUGAAAAUUGGAAAGAUUUGAUCCCUGUACACAUGACGGAGCAGAUGUAGUGAGACAGUUUAGCGAGCAGCGGCGAGGAAACCAGGAAAUCGGUUGAAAGCGCCAUGAAUUGGUGCGUGGCACAGCCCAGCGUGUUGGGUUGAGUGCAUGGGGAGAGAGAGAGAGAGAGAGAGAGAGAGAGGGGGAAUUUCCGGAUAUAGUUGUUCAAAAUUUUGACGGCGUUUAGUUCUGUACAUACACGCGACCCUGUAAUCUUACUGUAAGCGUUUCCCAUUGGGUGUGUCCAUGUAAUUUACGAGCCCUUUGACGAGGUGCAGCCUGUACUACAACAUUUGUGCAAAUAAAGCGUCCAUUACCUUGAUGAAGGAGUUGAGGGGGAAGGGGGUGUGUGGGUGCGGGUUGCGGCAAUGUGUGGGAAUGUUGGUGGGAUGUGCGCAUGAGUUGAUGUGGAGUGGGUUGUUGAAAGGUGGGUGUGGUGGUGAGAGGAGUGUAUAUGGCGAGAGGCGAGUGGAGGUUGGGUUGGGUGUGCGAGAUGUAGACGUGGGUGGCGGUUGAUGCGGCUGUGUUGGGAAGUAGGGGAUGGCGGUGAUGCGAGUAGUGUGUGGUCCGCAUGCUCAGGGCUUUGUGAAUCGGUGAUCCUUGUCGAAAGGGGUUUGGAACCAUGUUAUGACGCUUGUUCAAGUGGGGAUUUGUCAUGCAUCUGUGGGACUACUUCAUUACGAAACGAACACAACAUGAUUGGAUGUCUUUUCCAAGUUGACUUUACGUAAAGAACAAUAUGCUGAGAUAUGAGUUUGUGGUUGGAAGGGUUACAUGCCAUGUUGUCACAGAAUCCUAUUAAGAGUUUUCUGGAGGAAGUGGCUCUUUGGAAGUCAAUCCAUUUGGAAAACAUAUCCUUUGGGUACGGUCUUUCCUAAGAUUUUAAGACUCAUGCCAUGAAAUAGAUAAAGUUGCUACCUGUGUUGGGGUUUACAAAUUCAAUGUGGGUUUGGUAGGAGUUGAGAGGGUUGGGUUGAGAAAAGUGUGGGACAUCUUUAAGUAUCAUUGUAUUCAAGUCUUAGGAUUUGUGAGGAUGUUUACUAGGUCAAAAAUCAUUAAUUAUUUGGUUGUAUAGUAAGUCAAUUUCUUAAAGAAAUUAAAGUAAGAAUGACAAAUCAUAUACUAUGAUAAAGUGUUUGGUGUUAUAAAGUAAAAUAAGAGGUUAGAGACAGAAAUGUAAUUUGGUUAGGAAGUGGAAAUCAGAUCUUUUCUGGGUGAUGGUUUUCAGGAAGAAGAAAACUAAGGAAAGAGAAAUUAAAACAAUUUUUUUUUAAAGUAGAGUCCUUGCAAUUCAAUUUUUUUUGUUCAAGAUGUUUAAGUUUGAAUAUAGUAAAGUCUUGUUGAUUCUUAUUUAAGAAGAAAAUGAAGAGAAAAGUUGCCUUGAAGUAAGAGUUCAAAUAAUUCUAAAAUCCAAGAAAAUAGUUGCAUAAAAAAUAUUUUGAAGAAGUUUAUAUUUUGAGUAGUAGAAAUUAUUUGGAUUUGGAUUUGAAGAAGAGAUUUGAAAGAAUUUAAAGGAAGGACUAUACUUCUAGGCCAAAUUAGAAAAUUACUAAACUUCAAGCAAAGAAGGAAGUUUAAUGAUAAACAAGAGAACAUUAAAGUAAAUUGAGAUGGUAAAAGAAAGAAGUUUUAUGGUUUAAAGCAUAAUAGCUAUUCUUGUUACAAACAUUAAAGCAAUGGAUGUACAGUUAAAAGUGCGAAAGACAACCAAAUAAAAUAAGAUUUGAUUUCAAAUUAUAAAAAAAGUCUAAAUAUAAAUAUUUAAAGAAAAGACUCUCCAAAUUUUUAAAUCUCAUCUCAAUUCAAAUAAAAAAUAAGAAUAAGAAUAAAAAGUUUAAUUAAAGAAUCAAUUUUAGUUCUAAAUUUUUUAGUAAAGAAAAAAAGUCCUUAGUAAUAAUUAUUUUCUUAUUAUCUAUUUUUUUAAUAAAAAAAUAUAGGUAAUUAAAAAAAACCAUCUAGAGUAGUAACAUAUUGAUAUUAAUUUUUACAAAUGCAAUUAAUAUAUUUAUAUACAUGCAAUAUAUAAAAAAUUAAAUUAUAUUUUAAUUAUAAAAAAAAAUUAAAAAUUGUAAUUAGAAACUUAGAAAUAAAUUAUGAUAGGCAAGAAUGUAAUAUUUAAUUAAGAUAUAUAAAAAUUUAAAUAAGAUUUUGCAAAUUAUAUCUAUUGUGAAAUAGAUUUAAUAUCAAAAACUAUUUUUCUAUUAAGUUGUAUAUUUUAAGUAGUAAUUCUAAGUAUAAAUAGUAAUAAUCAAUAGAAGUACUAAUCCUAAUACCUUAUUAUAUAUCCUUAUAUAUUAAGUGGUAAUUAAGUAUAUUUAAUUAAGAAUUUUUUAGUAUUCUAUUUUUUGGCAUAAUUUUUUUUAAAAAAUAGUCCAUUUAAAUUAUUAUGUAUUUAAUAAAAUAAUUAAUAGUAAUAUUUAUUUAAUAUUUAAAAAUAUAACUUGUAGAUUGUUAAAAAAGAAGUAUGGUUUCAUUAAUCUUUAGUCACAUUUCUAUUGAAUUUAUGUUGUAGUAAUUUCUUUCUUAAGCAUGCACUAUAUUAAAUAUGUAUUUAGAUUAAAUAUACAAAAUAAAUGAUUAGAAAUAUAGUUCAAGUUGAUAUUGCUUUAUUUUAAUUUAAACAUAUCAAACAAUAUUAGUUUGUUAAAGAUUUUUGUUUCUUUGCAUAUCUUUUAAUAAUCCUAUUACAUAUAGUAAAAAAUCUCAAGAAAUCUACUAAAUGAUUUUCAAUAACUUCAAUCAACUUAAUAGAUCUCAACUAUGAUUCUACUUCAAUAAGAUGUUUUAAUAGUUUGUUAAUAUCCAAAAAUCUAUAUUGUUGCUAAUAUUGCUAAGUUGUAUUAUUUCUUAAAGCAUCAAUUUCAUCUUAUUCAAUUGUCUUAUUUUCUUGAAUCAUAUCAAGAUUUACUUAUUUUCCUCACAAUCAUUGAAUAGAUCAUCUUGCCACUUAUUUUUGGCUUUUUUAUCUAUUAAAAAAAUACUCAUUCAUCUCUUCAUGUGUGAUUAUCAAAUUUAUUUUUUUGAAUAUAUUUAAUAUUCUAUUAGCUAUUAAAUCAAAUUUGGAGUCUAUUAGCUACUUUGAUAAAUUAAUAUUGGAUACUUUCUAUUUUUUAUUCAUAUCUACUUUUGUAUAGCAAUUUGAAAUAGUUUUUAGUGAAAUUUUUAUUCAAGGCUCUUAUAACAUAUUUUGCAACACCGAAAAAAUAAAGAAGUCAUCUUUGUAUAAUAUUGACACUGCCUUAUAUCAUUUUUUAUGAUUGAAAUUUGAGUGUUUUUUUUGUUAUUUUAUUAUUUUUUUGAUAAAAAAUAAUCAUAUUAGAAUUUUUUAAUUAUAUUUUUUUAAAUUAAUAUUUUUAUUAGAUUUUUUUUUGUCUUCAAGUUCUAUUUUCUACUUAUCUUGAGUAAUAUUAGACAUCUUCUUUUUUAUUGUCCUAUUAUAGCAAAGCUUAUUGAAAUGGCACAAAUGCAAGAACAAAUAAAAGACUUAAUGUUUAAAAUGCAUCAAUUCAAUUUACUGCAACUAGAAGCAAAAUAAUUGAUAAGAAGUGAAGAUAUAGAAAUGAUUAAAGUUACUAAAGUAUCUAUAUCAAAUCAUAUUAUUUUUUCUAUGGUGGAAUAUUAUUCAAGUAUUAGAAAACUAAAAGUUGCCUUAUUUGAGAAGUUUGAUGAUACAAAAUAAAUAUUUCAUAAAUUUAUCAAUUAAGCUAUUUAACUUCAAGGUUACAAAUCAAAUUUAUUGAAAUAUUACUUUUAGAUUUUGUUUUAUCAUGGUAUUCAUCUUUUUUUUAAAAAUAAGAUUUAAAAUUGAAUAUUUUAUAGACUCUUUUGGCAAAGUUUUGACUCAUGUAUGAAAAAUAUGAUAUAACUUAUAUUGUAACUAAUAAGAUUUUUGUUUUUUGACAUAAGAAUCAAUGAAUAAUAUUAUGUAUUUCACAAUUUUGAUAACUUACAAUAAAUAUUAAAUAGCAUGAUAUUGAAUUCAUUACCCAAUUUUUCUAUAGAUUAUAAUAUAAGGUAAAUAAGUUUAUAUUGAACUUAUCUAAUUCUUAGACAUUGAACCAAACAAUUGACUUUGUUAUGAAGUUUGACAAUUGACUUUUUGAAUUUUGAUCUGAGAGUUGUAUAAGUGGACCUCAAUAUUUUUAAAUUUUAAUAGCAAUAUCUAUACCUUAUCAAUGCAUACAUUUUAAAGUAGAAGACAUGCAAAUAGACAUGGUACAUUUUAAAGCUCUAUCAAAAAUAUAAAUCUUGAAGAAUUGAAAGAUUAAGAUAUUCUUGUGUCAUUCAAAAAGACUAAAUAAUUACUCAAAAAUGAUAGAAUAUUAAACUAAAAUAGCUAUUUCUAAGGAAAAAAAGAUUGAAAAGUUUUUAAAAAAGACUAAGAACUAAAUAAGUGUUGACAAAAGUAAAGGAGGCUUCACUCUUACCUCCAUAUAUAUUGUCUAAUUAGUAGCUAUGUAGUAAUGUGCUACAAAACCUCCAAUACAUAUUGACUUUGUAAGGUACAUAUCUUAACUUGUAAGGCAAGUUUUUUAUAUGUGUGCUACAUAAUUAGCUUAUUUUUUAAGCUAUCAAUACAUAUGAUACAUUGUUAAUUUAUUGACUAAGUUUCUAACCUAUCAAUCUACUACAAAUAUGUUUAAAGUCAAAAUUGUAUCUAUGAAGCUUUUAAAAAGCUAUUCUAGAAGAUAUUAUAAAAUUAAUCUACUUUUAUAUACUUCUACUUAAUCAUAUAGAUAAUUAUUGAAAUAAAUAUGUGUGUCCAUGACAUUAUCUUUUCUUCUAAAGAUAAGUUCUUUGAAGAGCAGUCAUCAUUUUUCAUGGAUCUUAUUAUUCUUUAUCUUGGUUUUGAUAGAUGUCGUGAGUGAAAAGCCUAAAUCUUUUUAGCUACAUUUGCAAGAUUUUUUGUUGGCUCUUAUGUGCAUUCAUUAAUAUCCUAUUCAUGCUAAUAAACAAGAUAUUUCAACCUAUUUUGGUAUUGCCUUAAAUCUAAAACUUCUUCCACUUCAAAUUUUUGAUUAUUAUUUACUUCUAUAAGAAGAGGUGGUAUUUUUUUUUUUUUUUUUUUUUUUUUUUUUUUUUCUUUUUGAAAUACUCAUUAUCUUAUACGGCUAAAAAAAAUUAUAUAGAAUAUAAGAUAGAUCUUUAUAAACUCCAAUGGAUGUAAUUGAUAAGCAAAAAGAUUGACUUAUUUACUAAUAGAAAAUAGUCUAAGCCUAUGAUAAUCUAACUUCCCACAAAAAUUGCUAGUCUUCAUAUUGUGAUGAAAUAACCAUAUCUUAUUGCCAAUGUGGAAUUGAGGUUGCUCCUUGCAAUAGGCAUCCAAGUUAGUUUUUUGUCAUUCUUGAGCUUCUUUUAAAUGUAUCCUUAUUGUUGUAUGUAGCUCAAAUAAAUAAUUUGCUAAAUCUUUCAUCACAUAAUGAUCAAAUUUUGAGAAGUCAAAAACAUCAAGAUAUAGAUGAUAAUAAAAAUUAGCCAAAAUUUUUUUUUAUUGUAUUAAAUAAUAUAUUAUAUUAUUAUAAGUAUACUUUAUAAAUAAUAAAAGUAUUAUUCAAUCAUCUUGUUGGUAGUUGAUGGUAAACCUUAAAUAUUAUUUCAAAUCUUGAUUUAUAUAUUCUACCUAUCCAUCAAUUUGAAGAUGAAAAAUUAAAGAGAGCUUUAUAUCUACCUUUAGAAUUUUAAAAAGAUUCUUCAAAAUCUUCAUAUAAAUUGAGUCUCCUAUCCAAUAUAAUAUCCUUGAGCAAUUCAUAAUAACAACAGAUGUUAUCAAAAAAAAUCUUAGCUAUUUCUUGACUUGUAAUAGAUUUUAUACAUAAUACAAAAUGUACUAUCUUAGUAAAAAAAUCUAUCAUUAUGAAUAUCAAAUUAUAUAAAUUUAAAACUAGAAGAUCUAUAAUAUAAUUCAAAGAAACAAAAGACUAUGGUUGUUUUGAAAUAGGUAAUGGCUAAAGAAGUUUAUAAGAUUGAUGACAAAGAGUUUUUGAUCUGUAUUGUAGAUCUUAUAGUUAAUUUUGGCUAUUAGAGAUUUUUUGGAAUGAAAAGCUACUAGGUGGAUUUUUUUUUAUCUACUACCGUUUUUGACAAAAUAAAAUCCAUAGUAAAGUUUGAUGUGUCUGUUUGCAUGAAAAAUGCAUGAAAAAAAUGACACAAUUCAAGAUUAAUGUAAAAUUAAAUGAUAUCUUCAAGGCUUCAAAAGAUGCUUUAGCUUCUUUUUUCUAUUUAAAUUUUUCUUUACAUGUCAAACAUGUAAGAGGAGCCACAACUUGAAAUAAAUUUUUGAUAAAGUUUUGAUAAUAAUUAAAAAAUUAUCAAGGAUAUGAAUCUUGAAGAAAGAAAAUCCUGAAUACACUCUUGUAUCAUUGAAAAGAACUAAAAAUUUACUUAAAGAUGAUAUAAUAUUGAACUAGAAUGGCUAUUACCAAAAAUAAAAAGAUUAGAAAGAUUUGAAAUAAGACUAAAGACUAAAAAGGUGUUGAUAAGAAUGAAGAAGGCUUCACUCUUGCUUCCAUAUAUACUCUCUAACUAGAAGCUAAGUGGUGAUAUUCUAUAGGACCUCCAACAUGUAUUGACUUUGUUAGCUAUAUGUAUUAACUUGUAAGGCAAGUUAUCUAUGUAUGUGCCAUAUAGUUAGCUUGUUUCACAAGAUACUAUAUGGAGUUAUCUUAUUCCAUAAGCUACUAAUAAGUGGUUAACUUGUUGCCCAAGUUUUUAUCCUACAAAUUCAUCUAAAGUCAAAAUCGUAUCUAUAAAGCUUCUAUGAAGCUUUUCGAGAAGACUUUAUGAAAUUAAUCUAUAUUUACCUACUUCUAUCUAAUUAUAUAAGUGACUAUUGAAAUAAAUAUAUAUAUCCAUGAUAUUACCCUCUUUUUUAGGAACGAGUUCCACAAAGAGGAGUUAUCAUUUUUCAUAGAUCUUUGCAAUUCUUCAUCUUAGUUUUGAUGGAUGUCAUCAAUCAAAGACCUCAAACUACUUUAUUGCAUUUGUAAGAUUCUUUGUUGACUCCCAUGUGACUAUAUCAUAUCAUUGUUUACUAAUAUCAUAUCCAUGCCAAUGAAUAAGAUAUUCCAACCUAUUUUGGUGCCACCUUGAAUCUAAAACUCUUCCACCUUAAAUUCUUGAUUAUUAUCCAUUUUUAUAGGAAGAGGUGGCAUUUGUCUUUUUUUUGAGAUAUUCACUAUCUUAUAUGGCUCAAGAAGGGACACGUGAAAUAUAAGGUGGAUCUUCAUAGACUCUGGUAGAUGUAAUUGAUAAGCAAUAGAAUUGAUUUGUUCACAAAUAAAAAAAGGUCGCAACAUAUAAUAGUCAUAAGGACAAGUAGUCUUGAUAUUGCAAAGAAAUAACCAUACCUUAUCACCUACAUUGAAUUGUAGAUGCUCCUUACAAAAGGCAUCUGGGUAGGUCUUUUUUCACUCUUGAGCUUCCUUUAAUUGUAUCUUUAUUGCUACAUGUAGCUCUAACAAAUGAUUUGCUAAAUCUUUUGCCAUAAGAUUAUUAACUUUUGAAAAGUCAAAAGUAUCAAGUCAUGGAUGAUAACCAUAAUUGGCAAAGAAAGAUGUUUAUUGAGUAGAAGAAUGUAUCAAAUUAUUAUAUUCAAAUUAUGCCAAUGAUAAAAAAGUUGUCUAAUCAUCUUGAUGAUAGUUGAUGGUACAUCUCAAAUAUUGCUCCAAAACUUAAUUCAUCUAUUCUAUUUGUCUAUCAAUUUGAGGAUGAAAAGCCAAAGAGAGUUAUAUAUCCAUCUUUAGAAUUUUAAAUAGGAUUCUCCAAAAUAUUGAUAUAAAUUGAGUCCUCCUAUCUGACAUAAUAUCCUUUAAUAAUCCAUGAUAGUUAUAGAUAUUGCCAAUGAAAAGCUUAGCUAUCUUUUCACCUAAAAUAGAUUUUGUACAUAAUUGAACUUAAAAGAUCUGUAAUAAAAUUCAUAGAAAUAGAAGACCAUGAUUGUUUGGAUACAUGCAAUGGUUGAAGAAGUCCAUAGGAUCAAUAACGAGGAGUUUUUGAUCUUGAAUAAAUGUUAUAUGACUAAAAAAAGUCUUUCACUACCUUCCACAUUUGUAGCCACCAAAAAACUUUGGAUAUAAGCUUUAAAGUCUUAUUGUAUCUAAAAUGUUCUGUUGCUAGAAAUUUUUAAUGUGCUUGAAGAACACUUAAACAUGCUUCUUCUUCAAAAACAUAUAGACAUCUCUUGAAGUAGAAUAGGUUAUUUUUGAAGUCAAACUUUGAAAUAUUAUAAAACUUAGAAGAAAGAUUCUUGAUAUUAUGAACAAGAGGAUCAAAAGAAUUUAUUUGACAAAAAUCAAAUCAAUAGUCCAUGUUGAUUUCAUUGCUCAAGGAUGAAAAUACUCUUGCUUCAAGAAGAUUGUUUUUUAUUGAUUAAAAGAUAAGUAUUUUUUUUUUUUUUUUUUUUUUUUUUUUUUUAAAUUUAAGACAAGAGUGUCUAGAAAGAGUAUCUAAUAAACCUUAUUUUUUUUUAAGUCAAUAUGUAAUUUUGAAAUCAAAUCUUGAUAAUAACAUGCUCUAAUGAGCUUGGCAACGAUUCAAAAUAAUAUAUGCUAAUAUAAAAUACUUGAGGUUUUUAUGAUUUGUAUAUAUUAUAAUUGGACUUAAAGUGCCUUCUAGAUAAUGAUGCCAUUCUUGAAAUGAAUCCCUAAUUGUACAAAGUUCUUUGCUGUGGAUUUCAUAGUUAAUCUUGACUACUAAAAAUUUCUUAUAAUAGAAGCUACUAGAUGGAAUUUAUUAUCUAUUCCCAUUUGUGACAAUACUACAUCCAAGGCAAAGUCUGAUGCAUUUGUUUUCAUAAAGAAUUCUUUAAAAAAGUCGAUGCGAUACAAAAUUGGUACAAAAGUAAAUUCCUUCUUGAAAGCAAUAAAUGAUAUUUCGGCUUUUUUAUUCCACUCAAGUUUUUCUUUACAAGUCAAACAUAUAAGUGGAGUUACAACUUGGAAAAAGUUCUUGAUAAAGAUUUGGUAAUAAUUGACAAAGCUCAAAAAGCAUUGUACAUCUCUUACUGUUCUUGGGAACUUCUAAUCUAUGAUAGUUUGGACCUUCUUUGGAUCCAUCAUAAGGCCUUCAUUGGAAAUGAUGUAUUCCAAAAAGUCAACUUGAAUAGUAUGGAAUACACACUUUUCUAUCUUUGUGUAUAAUCAUGCAUCUUUUAGUUUUUAUAAUACUUAAAAAAUAUUAACUUCAUGAUCUUUUGUGUUCUUAGAAUAGAUUAAAAUAUCAUCCAGAUAACAAAUGAUAAAUCAUCAAGAAAAUCAUGAAAAAUAUCAUUCAUUAGAUGUCAAAAAAUAGCUAGUACAUUUAUGAAUCCAAAAGGCAUGAUAUUAUAUUCAAAAUGUCCAUACCUAGUUUGAAAAUCACUCUUCUAUUUAUCUCCUUCUUUAAUGUAGACUAGGUUAUAUGCUCAUCAUAGAUCUAUUUUUGUAUAGGUCUUUACUUGAUUUAGUUGAUUAAUAAUUCUUGAAAUGAAGGUAGAAGAAACCUAUAUUUGAUAGUGAUCUUAUUAAGUCCUCGAUAAACUAUACAUAUUCAUAGAGAUCUAUCUUUUUUUCUUUACGAAUAAGAUAGGAGUAUCGGUUGGAGAUUUAAAAUGGCAUUUCAAGUUCUUAACCAAGUUUUCAUCAAUAUACUCGUUGAGUGUGGCCAAUUCAUUUUGUGAUAGGCUAUAGAUUAGUCCAAAUGGUGGUUGAGUUCCUUCUUGAAGAUUGAUGGUAUAAUCAUAAGGAUGAUGCUUUGGAAUAAUAUAUAUAUUUUUUUUUUCAAAAACAUCUUGGAAAUCUUGAUACUGAUUGAGAAUACUAGAUAUCUUUUUACCAUCAACAAUGGAUGUGGCAUAUAUAGCAAAAGAUGGUCCUUCAUUUUCAGCAUGCAUGAAAGCUCUUACACCUACUAUUAAUAAUUUGGAUGUACUAGACUUAUAGAUUUCUACUUGCCUAGUAGAACCAUGGACUAAACCAUGCAAAAAAUUAAGAUUGCAAGAAAUUUAAUCUAUCUGAAGGUUAUAUCUUUCUAACCAUGAUAAUCCUAAAAUAAUUGGAUUAAAAGGAAAUUUAAUUAUAUUAAAUAUUACUAAACUAUUGUAACUACUAGUUGCUACUUCUAUAUAAAUAGUUUCAUGUGAUAUAUCUCGAGAAGACAAUGAAUGUCCAUCUAUUACUUGGACAUACAUAGGUUUGAUUUUAUUAAUUAAAAAUAUAUCUUAUUUUUUGACAAAGUCUUUAUGUAUACAACAAGAUGAGGCUUUUGAAUCCAAUAAGACCAAGACUUUGUGAUUUUUUGGUCCUAAACAGACUUCUAUUAUAAAACAAGGUAAAGGAUCAGAAUAAAGAAUAAGAUUUUUAUUAGAUGUUGUACAUGAUUCCAACCACACGGUUCCUAUUGUAACUAGAGCAACUUAUUUUUUGACACAUUAUCUUCUUUGGCAAUCAUGCUUUUCAUUUUGUAAUUAGAUUGUUUCUUAGGACAAUAUUGAACAAUAUGUUUAGCUUCUUUAUAAUAUAAGCAUAAGCCUUCUUGACAUCAUCAACUCUUUUUCUGCUCUGUGAGAGAUUUUAAAUGUACCUUUGUGAUAUUAUGUGUUGUCUUUGUUUAGGAAUGCAUCGGGCACCUAACUGUAGAAGGUGAGGUUGUAUUUCACAAGUAUCUAAGAAAUCCUAAUAGAUUUCAUCCAUAUGAAAAGAAUGUAAUCCAAAUUUUAAUUCAAAAGUACUAAAAAGUACUCUUUUUAGUAGCCUUAAUCAUAUAUAAAUCUCAAUUACUUUGUUACUUUUAUAUUUAAGUAAUUUAGAUUUUUCUUAUAAGCCCCAAUUCUAAUUAAUGAACUUUAAUAAGCUGUAACUUCUAAUUUAAUUGUCUACUUGAUACAAAAUUUUGCAUGCAAUUGUUAAUAUAAGUCUUCUAUACGCUUAAGAAUUUUGAGCCCAAUCCAACUUACAGAUUAUGAGAAAACCUCCAAAAAUUGCACUGAUGUCACUUGGCCACCAACUUGAAAAGUGAAGCAAAAAUCUUAGCAGUGAUUUCUCCUUUUCUAAUUUUUAAUUUUAACUCAAAAUUGAUAUGCAAAUUAUUCUUUAAGUCUUCCAACAUCAAGCCAAAUUUCACCUUGAUCUGACUAGUAGAUCUCUAGAUAUCAUAGAAACCCUACCCAAUUCCAAAUUACCAACUUCUAAAACCCUCUUGUGCUAAAAACCAGAUAUCUCAAAAAUACACUAUUAAAUUAUCAAAAAAUAUUGUAUACACUUAGCACAUCCAAUAAUCCAAAUAAUACCAAAUUUUGAAUUAUAGAUGCUACACCAAUUGUACAAACUAGCCAAAAUUACUAGCCCUAAUUAUAUUAUAUAAAACCCAAAUCACCAAUAUAAACUCUGACUUUGAACAAUAAUUGCUAAGUCUUAAAAAAUCCUACAAAAACAAUCUUUAUACCUUUAAAAAGAGCUUUAAGUUAGCUUUCAAAUUCUAAUCUCUAAUCUUCAAAUAAAAUCCUAAUUUUUCCUAGGUGGUCAUUUUAAAGAUUAGAGGUUGAUUUCAAUUCCAUCUCACAAAUGGUCAAUCCACGUGUAUCAAUCUAAUCUAUUCUAAGGAUUUUUUAGUCCAUUCCUAUUGUUAACUUGAUCUUAGUAUCAACCAUAUCAACCAUUUAUCUCUUCUAUCUUAAUUUUAAUAAUUUAUGGCCUUUCUAAGGUAGUAAAAAAGUUUCUAUAUUCUAGAAGGUAAAAAUACUAUCUAACUUUUAUCUACUUGCUAUUAAGCCAAGAAAAUAGGCUAAGAGGCUUUCAUAAAAGCCUUAUUAAAAUAUUUUGAAUUCUUAUUGAAUUAAUAUAAUAGAAUAUUAAUUAAAAAAUUAUUUUUAAUUAUAUUUUUAUCAUAUAAUCGUGUCAUAAUACAACACCAUAUCAAUUAGCAUUAGUUUUGGCUUUCAUAAAUAAGUUUUUGAAAACUUAGGAGCUGUAAUCAUUAUUUGGUUUUUUCUUCUUCAGCCAUAUCUUUGUUCUUGAUGUAUUUCAAAUAAUUGAUUAUCACAUGCAAUGGCUUCAGCAAUAAAUUGUUCUAAAGAUUUUGUCUUUGGCAUUGUCAAUAACAAGUCUUUCAUACUAUCCUUUAACCCAUAUGAAAAUUGAUUGAUAAGGACUUUAUCAUUUCAGUCUACAUUAUAAGUGAGAUUUUGGAAUUUAAUAGCAUAUAUUAUGGUUGACCAUGAUCCUUACUGUCAAGAUUAGAACUUGGUCUCUACUACUCUUUCUCAAUCACUUUCUCCAAAUGUGGCCAUAAACACUUUUAGGAAUGAAUUCAACUCAUAAAGAAGUCACAAAUCUUUUUCUAUCAAAGAUGCAAAUUAAGAGAGAACACUUCUUGAUAGAAGUACCUUUAUAAAUCCGACUUCAAUAAAUCCAUUGAAAUAUUGGAAAGGAUGCAAUCUUAGAUAGAGCUUGACUUGUUGUAAAAAUCCUCAAAAUUUUGAUCUUAUUCCAUCAAACUUAUUAGGCAUACUAAUCCUUGUCUCUAUGAUACAUGUAGAAGCAAAACUCCUUAGAUUUGAUUCUAACAUCAAUCUACUUGCUUCUUUGAAGUGUACAACUUCUUACCAUAAACUCUGAACUUCUUUUGUAGGCGUAGAUAUAGUAACUUCGUGAUUCACAUUAAAAAUAUAUGAGAUUUCCAUUCUUAGAGUAUUGACAAGCUCAUGAAGAUUUGUAAUAGUUGUAAAUCUAUUUUUAUUUCUACUAAGAGUAGCAUUCUUAAUCUUUCUUUCUAUAGAUAAGUCAAAAAAAUUCAAAAAAUUAAAUUAAAAGAGGGUAAUCCACAACCUCUAAUAAAAAUUCUACAAAGAAGGGUACUUUACUUUCUUUAAGAAAAAUAUCACUGUUAAAAAAUAAGAUUUUUUUGUUUAAAGGUGGAUAGUCCAAAACUUUCAAAAUAUAACAAUAGAAGUGGAAUAAUCUAUUGACUUUUUAAACAAGACAGAAGCAGUUAGUUAGCACUCUUAUCAAACUAUCAAGGACAUGAAUCUCAAAGAAAGAAAAUCCUCAAGUCAGUCUUGUAUCAUUGAAAAGAACUAAAAAGUUACUUAAAGAUGAUGUAAUAUUGAAUAGAAUGGCUAUUUUUAAAAAUAAAAAGAUUAGAAAGUCUUGAAAUAAGACUAAAGACUAGAAAGGCAUUGAUAAGAGUGAAGAAGGCUUCACUCUUGCCUCCAUAUAUACUCUCUAAUUAGGAGCUACGUGGCGAUAUUCUAUAGGACCUCCAACAUGUAUUGACUUUAUUAGCUAUAUGUCUUAACUUGCAAGGCAAAUUAUCUAUAUAUACACCACAUAGUUAGCUUGUUCUACAAGCUACUACAUGAAGUUAACUUGUUCCAUAAGCUACCAAUAAGUGGUUAACUUGUUGACCAAGUUUCUAUCCUACAAAUAUAUCUAAAGUCAAAACCAUGUCUAUGAAGCUUCUAAGAAGCUACUCUAAAAGAAUUUAUGAAAUUGAUCUAUAUUUAUCUACUUCUACCUAAUCAUAUAAGUAACUAUUGGGAUAAAUAUAUAUGUCUAUGAUAUAAAUUUCAAAAAUUAUUGUAAUUUUUUGACUAUUUUUGAAAUCUUCUAAUUUAUGAUAGUCAAGACUUUCUUAAGAUCUAUGAUAAGGACAUCAUUUCAAAUGAUGUAUCUUACGAAGUGAACUUAAAUACUAUGAAUUUUAUACUUUUCCAUCUUAGCAUAUAAUCCUACAUCCUUUAAUUUUUGUAACAUAUAAUAAAUAUGAAUUUUAUAUUCUUCUAAGAUCUUAAAAUAGAUUAAGAUAUUAAUGAAAAAAUAGAUAAUAAAAUCAUCAAGAAAAUUAUGAAAUACAUCAUUCAAUACAUAUUGAAAAGCAACCAAUGCAUUUGUGAGUCCAAAAAACAUGACAUUAUAUUUGAAAUAUCUAUACUUCAUUUAAAAUAAUUUUUUUCAUUUAUCUCCUUCUUUAAUAUAUUCUAUAUUAUAUGUUCUUCAUGGAUCUAUUGUAAUAUAGAUCUUUGCUUGAUUCAAUUGAUCCAAAAGUCUUAAAAUUAAUGAUAGAAGAUAUCUAUUCUUGAUGGUAAUUUAAUUGUAUUAUUAAUAAUCUACAUACAUUUGCAAAGUUCUAUAUUUUUUCUUCACAAAAAAGAUAGGAGUCUCAAUUAGAGAAUUAAAAUGGCAUAUGAAGUUUUUAGCCAAAUUUUCAUCAAUGUAUUCUUUGAGUGUAGCCAAUUUAUUUUGUGAUAGGCUAUAAAUUGGUCUAAAAGGUAAUUGAAUUUCUUCUUGAAGAUCAAUGGAAUAAUCAUAGAAAUGAUGCUCUAAGAAAAUAUCUACAUUUUUUUUUGAAAAUAUCUUGAUAAUCUUGGUAUUGGCUUGAAAUGCUACUUAAAAUCUUUUCUUUAUAUAUAAAAGUUGUGGCUUAUAUAAAAAAAAAUUGAUCCUUCUUUUGUAACAUGUAUAAAAAUUCUUAUAUCUAAUAAUAAUGAUUUGGAUGUAUUGGUCUUAUAGAUUUUUUCUUGCUUACAAAAAUCUUAGACAAAAUUAUAAGAAAAAUUAAGGUUAAAAGAAAUCUAGUUUGUUUAAAAAUUAUAAUUUUUUAGCCACAAUAAUCCUAAAAUAAUUAGGUUAGAAAGAAAUCUAAGAACAUUAAAUAUUACUAUACUAUUAUGAUCACUAAUUGCUAUAUCUAAAGGAAAAAUUUUAUAUAUUACAUCUCUAGAAGACAAUAAACAACCAUUUAUAACUUUAGCAAGUACAAGUUUGAUUUUCUCAACUAAUGGUAUUUCUUAUUUUUUGACAAAGUCUUUGUUUGUAAUAUAGGCUAAGCCUCCUGAAUCUAAUAAGGCUAAGACUUUGUGAUUUUUGAUCCUAAAAAAACUUCUAUUUUAAAACAAGGUGAAAGAUUUGAAAAAAAAAAAAAAAAAAAAAUCUUUAUUAAGUAUUAUGCAAGAUUUCAACCAUAUAGUUCCUAUUAUAGUUCAAAAAACUUGUUUUUUGUCACAUUAUCCUCUUUCACAACCAUGCUCUUUAUUUUGUAAUUAUAUUGCUUUUUUGAAUAAUAUUAAGUAAUAUAUUUGCAUUUUCUACAAUAUAUGCACAAACCUUUUUGACAACAACAAGUCUUUCUUACUCAAAGAAAAGUUUAAAACGUAUAGUGUCAAUUUAUAUAGGCUCUAGCUUGGAGACUUAAGCUUUCAAAAGCUUAGAAGGUAUCGCCAUAGCUUGAUUUAUACCUCUUCAAUCAGAUCUUUAUUCUUAGCAUCUUUUAAAGAAUCAUUUAUUGCAUGCAAUGGCUCAAGCAAUAAAUUACUUUAAUAAAUCUAUUCUUGAUAUUAUUAAUAAUAAAUCUUUGAUAUUAUCUUUCAAUCUAUACUAAAAUUCAUUGAUAAGGGCUUUAUCAUUUCAAUCCAUAUUAUAAGCAAGAUUUUGGAGUUCAAUAGUAUUUAUGGUAGUUGAAUAUGACCCUUGUCAUAUAGAUAGGAGCUUGAUUCCUACUAUCUUUUUUCAAUUAAUUUUUCUAAAUAUAGCUAUAAAUACUUCCAAAAAUUAAUUCAAAUCAUAGAAUAUUUAAGAAUCUUUUUUCAUCAAAAGUACAAACUAAGAAAGAUCACUCUCAGAAAGAAGUGCUCCUAUGAAUCUAACUUAAGUACAUCCAUUAAAAUAUUAAAAAAAAUGUAACUUUAGAUAGAACUUUAUUUAUUAUUAAAAUCUUUAAAACUUUGAUCUUGUUCCAUCAAACUUUUCUAGCAUUCUUAUCCUUAAUUUUCUUAUAUUUAUACUAAGAAUACUCCUUGGAUUCAAUUAUAAACUUGAUCUACUUGCUUCUUUUAAUUGCAUAACUUUUGAGCAUAGACUUUCAACUUCAUUGUUGAUUUCUUCUAUGGACAUAGGAAUAGUACUUCUAUGAUUUACAUUAGAAAUAUGUAAGAUUUCUACUCUAAGAUUAUUAAUAAGCUUGUGAUAAUUUAUAAUUUUUACAAAUCUAUUCUUACUUCUAUCAAGAAUAGUAUCUAUCAUUUUUUCUUCAAUAGAUACUUAAAUAAAUUCAAAAAAUUAAAGUAAAAGGGGAUAAUGUACAACCUCAAAUAUCAAAUGAAGAUUUCUAUGAAGAAAGAUAAUCUACUCUCUUAAAGAAAAAAAUUAUUGUUAAAAAACUAACUUAUUUAUUUAAAGAUGAAUAGUCCACUAUCUUAUUAUAUAUUCUCUUAUUUAGAAAUAUACUAGGUAUCUAGCUAUAAAAAGUAAAGUUGUGUUUUAUAAGUAUCUAAGAAAAUCUAAUAUGUUUCAUUCAUAUAAAAAGAAAUGAAAUUCAAAUUUUAAUUCAAAAGUGCUCAAAAUCAAUACAAAGUGCUUAAAAACACUCUUUUUAGUGAUCUCAACCAUACAAAAACUCCAAUUACCUUAUUACUUUUAUAAUUAUAUAAUUUUGAUUUCUUUUUAUAAAUCCUAAUCUUAAAUAUUGAAUUUUAGCAAAUUAUAAUUCCUAAUUUGGCUAUUUACUUAUCACAAAAUUUUACAUACAAAUGCCACUAAAAGUCUUCUAUAUGUUUAAAAAAAUUUAAUCCAAUCCAAUUUACAAAUUGUGAAAAAACAUCCAAAAAAUUGCAAUGAUAUCACUCAGCUACCAAUUUGAAAGUUGAUUCAGAAGUUUUAGUAGCAAUUUUUCUUCUUCCAAUUAUUAACUUUAGCUCAAAAUUGAUGUAUACCGUGAUCUUCAAGUCUUCUAAUAUUAUGCCAAAUUUCACCUUAUUUCAAUUAAUAGAUCUUUAGAUAUCAUAAAAAUCCUAUUAAAUCCCAAACUGCCAACUUUUGAUACUUUCUUGUACCAAAAAUCAAAUAUCUCUCAACUACACUAUUAGAUUAAUAUAAAAUUUUAUGUAUGCUUAGCACAUUAAAUCAAUCAAGAAUAUUAGUCCUAAUUAUAUAACAUAAAUUCAAAGUCAAUAAUAUAAAUCUUAAUUUUAAACAUCAAUUGUAAAGUUAUCUCAAAUCCUAUAAAAAUAACCCUUGUGCUUCAAGAAUGAACUUGAAGCUAGCUUUCCAAUGUUAGUCAUGAAUCUCCAAAUGCUCCCAUAUUUUAUCCUUGGCAGUCAUUUUAGUAGCUAGAGGUUUGAUUUUGACCCAAUUCUACAAAUAUUUGACCUCAAGUAUCAAUCCAAUCUAUCAUAGGGAUUUUUUAGUCCAAUCCUACCUUCAACUUAAUUCUAGUAUCAACUAUAUUAAUUAUUUACUUCUUUUAUUCUAUUUUUAUUAAUUUAUGGUCUUUUUAAGGCAGUAAAAGAAUUUCUAUAGCCUAAAAGUUAAAAUUACUAUCCAACCUUUAAUCUACUAGCUAUUAAGACAAAAAAAUAAAUUAAGAAGCUUUUAUAAAAAUAAUGUUUAAAUUUCUUAAAUUAUUAUUGAACCAAGAUGAUUAAAUAUUUAUUUUAAAUUUAUUUUUGAUUAUUUUUUCAUCAUAUAGUCAUAUUAUAAUACAACAUCUAUCUCUUCUAAAACUGCAUAUCCUCUGAUAUGCACCAAAUCAACUAUAUGUCAUAAUUGACAUCAAACUAUUUCUUUAUUUUUUGUAUCAAUUCUUUCAUUACUAUUUUCACCAUCUAUUUGAGUAAAAUUAUUUCUAUAAUCUACAGUGAUCUUUUUUAUACAUCUAAGAGUCCCACAAAUUGAUCUUAAUUAGUAGAUUAGUUAAAAACAUAGUUUUAAGUUAUUCAAUUAUACAAAUAUUAAGAGUAGAGAGUUUUUUUUUUUUUUUUUUUUUGACUAUUCAAGUAUUUAUUAUAAUUUAAAAGUAUUUAUAAGUUGCAAAAGUGUUAUUAGAAGAAAAGUUAUAAAAAUAGAGUCUUAGUAAGUCUUGGAGGCAAUUAUCUUAGUUAGUUUAGUAUUUUUCUUAUUGUUAAGUAUUAAGAGUUAGUUAUUGAAACCAAUAUCUUCAUUGGCUCCUAUCUACAUGUAUUACUUAUAAAAUCCUAUCAAUGAUUAGUUAGUAGUUAGAAGAAGCAUGAAAAAGAGCUUCAUGUCUUUUUAGUUAAUUAUAUAAAAAAUAGGAUUUUUAGUAGAUUUAAAUUGAUUUUAUUACUAUAAAAAAUCACUAAGAUAGGAAAAUACAGCCUCAUAUGGAUAUUAGUAUUAUAGAAACAUUAUAGGAUUUUUUAGAAUUUAUUUAGAAUUUAUUUAGAAUUUUUUAUGAAUUUUUAGAGAAAAUUUUAAGACUUUGGUAAAAUUGAGUUUUAUCACCUUGAGAGCCAUUAUGAAAUAUGAAGCAAGAUUUGAAGACUAUGAAAAGUUUCUAGGCUAAUUGGAUGUUUUUGAACACCCUGGUAAAGUCUAAAAUGCAAAAAAAAGGUAGUUUUACUAGUAGAAAAUAGGAGGACCAGCAGCUAGUGUAAUCCUUGUAGGAAGAGAGGUGCAUAAUUUCCAUAUGGAUUGUAGCACCUUGGGUAUAGGUAGGAAGAUAAGACUAAGGACUCAAGGCCUCUUGAGGGGGAGGAUAUACACUACUUGUGAGCCUUGGUGAGGCUCGAACUCUUGAUUUCUUAAGCAAGUUAUCCUUGAGGUAAAAAUUAUUCAUUUAACUUUUCUAUUAUUUACAUUCUAUCUUUAAUCUAUCAUAACUUACUCAUAGUAACUUGAAAUUAUAUGAUUUUUAUGUCAUUGGAAAGAUAAAAAAAUUAUCUAUCUAAAAAUAUAUUUUUUUAUUUUUACUUUUACUUUUUAUUGGAUGAAAAUCCAGUGAACGGACUGUGACUUUGUUUUGGAUGAUGUGAUUACUUGAUUUCAUCUCUUUUACUUGUAUUGUGGUUGUUCCUCCUUGAUCUUUUGCCAAUUGCUUACUUCACUUCAUACCACCAAUUACAAGCAACUCUUAAUUGAGGCCAUCUUGUAAUUGGGGCUAAGGAGUGAAAUUUACACUCACAACAUCCAUAGUGACAAAUAACAUCUUUAAGCAAAAACUUGCAAAUUUCUUUUAUAUAAUUUAUUCUUAAUAUUAUGUCUUCUACUUAAUUUGAUAAAAUUUUAUAAGACAAAAUUAAAUACUUCAUUUUUCAUAGUUCUAUCGACAUAAUAACAAAAUCCACAAUCCAUUUAAAAUGAAUAGCCAAAGAAUGUAUUACAUGUAGACCAUUUAAAAGUUGUAUAUUUGAAUGCAUCUGAUAAGUUAGAUAAGAUUCUACUAACAAAGCUACAUCUUGAUAUAUAUUCUUCUACCAAUAUUAUUCCUUGAAUUUAAUAAAAAUAGUCUAAAUUACUCUAUGCUGAACAUUUUAGAUACAACAAGACUUUUGAACUAACAUUGAAAGAUUUUUUGGUAGCUUCAAAUGUUGAAAGCAAUUAAAGACUUUUUAAAAUCAUGAGAUAUUUGUUUAAGAUCCAAAAUUCUUCAUCAUCAACUUUAUGGACUUCUUUAGCCAUUACAUAUUUCAAAACAACUAUGGUCUUUUGUUUCUAUAGAUUUUAGUAUGGAUCUUCCAAUCUCAAAUUUUUAUGAUUCUAUACUUAUGAUAAUAAAUCGUUUUAUAAAGAUAGCACAUUUUGAACAAUGUAUAAAAUCUACCAUAUGUAAAGAAAUGGCUAAUUUUUUUUUUACAAUAUUUAUUGCUAUCAUGGAUUAUCUAAACAUAUUAUAUUAGAUAGAAAAACUCAAUUUAUAUUAAGAUUUUAAAGAAUUAUUUUUAAGAUUCUAAAGAUGGAUAUAAAGCUCUCUUUAGCUUUUUUUCCUCAAACUAAUGGAUAAACAAAUUAGGUGAAUCAAGUUCUAGAGCAAUAUUUGAGGUAUAUCAUCAAUUAUCAUCAAGAUGAUUGAAUAACUCUUUUGCCAUUUACAAAGUUUGCAUACAAUAAUUCAAUACACUCUUCUACUUAAUAAAUAUCUUUUUUUUCCAAUUAUGGCUAUCAUCCAUGACUUGAUAUUUUUGACUUUUCAAAAAUUAAUAAUCCUAUAGUAAAAGAUUUGGCAAAUCAUUUGUUAAAGUUACAUGCAACAAUAAAGGUACAAUUAAAAAGAGAUCAAGAAUGACAAAAGAUCAAUACAAAUGCCUAUUGUAAAGAAUAACCAUAAUUCAAUAUGGAUGAAAAAAUAUGAUUAUUCCAUUGUAAUAUCAAGACUUCUUGUACUUGUGAGAAGUUGGACUAUCGUGGAUUAGAACCUUUUUCUAUUUGUGAACAAAUCAAUUUUGUUGCUUAUUAAUUACAUUUACCUAAGUCUAUAAAGAUCUAUCUCAUAUUUCAUAUAUCUCUUUUUGAGCCAUAUAAGAUAGUGAAUAUCUUAAGAAGAAGAUAAAUGCCACCUCCUCUUAUAAAAGUGGAUAAUAAUUAAGAAUUCAAGAUGAAAGAAGUCUUAGAUUCAAGGCAGCACCAAAAUAGGUUAGAAUAUCUUAUUCAUUGAUUUAGAUAUAAUAUUAAAGAAUGCACAUAGGAGCCAAGAAAUAAUCUUACAAAUGCAACAAAGAGAGUUGAGGUUUUUUAUCGAUGACAUCCAUCAAAACCAAAAUAAAGAAUAGAAAAUCUAUACUAUAAAAGAAAUAAGAUCCAAAGAAGAUAACAUUCUACUUUCUAUCCUUGUUUGAAGCUUUUGUAUAUUAUGAUAUUAAAGAAAUGAAAAAUAAACAACCAACAAAUUUAAUUCAAGAUCUUUUAUUUUUUAACUUACAACCUUUAAGAUGAUGCAAUUAAGAUAAAGUUCUUCAAAAAUGACAUAUCUUAUCUCAAAUAGAUGACAAAAUAUAAUGUGUUUGGUAUCACAAUCUUAGAAGAGUUUCUUGAUGUUUAGUGAUUUUAUUAGACGUAGAAAAAACUCUUGACAAUAUUCCAAAUAUUUUUAUUUUGAAGGAAGUUCAAUGGCUUUAACAACAACUAAAUAAUAAGAUGGUCUUUGUGCCUAAGUAUGUAACAUUAUCAAUAGCUAAGAAGACCUAUCAACCAUCUUCAAAGAGAACAAAGAUCAAAGUAUGUGGCAAAUACAAUUUGCUACAUCUUAGAUUUUUUCAAAAUAUGAAGACCUUUUUUUGUCGAACUCAUUUCUAAAAAGAAGGACAAUAUAAUGGACAUAUAUAUUUACUCUAAUAUUUACCUAUAUGAUUAAUUAGAAGUAAAUAUAAAUAAUUUUAUUUUAUAAUAUUUUUUAGAAAAGCUUCCUAGAAGCUUCAUACAUGCUACUUUGACUUUGCAUGUAUUUGUAGUUGAUUGAUAGGUUAGAAAGUUGGUUAAUAAAUUAACUAUGUAUUGCUAGCUUACGGAACAAGCUAAGUAUGUAGCUUACAUAUAGAAAACUUACCUUACAAGUUAAGAUAUGUGUCUUGCAAAGUCAACAUAUUUUAGAGAUCCUAUAGGAUAUUGCUAUGUAGUUCUUAGUUAUCAGUAUAUAUGGAGGUAAGAGUGAAGCCUUCUUCAAUCUUAUCAAUACCUUUUUAGUCUUUAGUCUUAUUGUAAGAUUUAUUAGUCUUCUUGUCUUUGGCAAUAGUCAUUCUAGUUUAAUACCAUAUCAACUUCAAGUGACUUUCUAAUUCUUUUGAGUGACAUAAGAUUGUAUUAAGGAUUUCUUUCUUCAAGAUUCCUUAAAAAUAGUAUUCUAAAUGAUUUGUUUGAAAGAAGUUUUAAAGGUCUCAACAAUGAUGAAGUAUUAAGAUGGUCUUUUUAUCUUUGUAAAAAAUACUAUAAAUGAUUGAUAAGACCUAUCAAUUAUCUUUAAAAAUAAUAAAGAUUAAAAUAUAUGACAAAUAUAAUUUAUUACAUCUUGAACUUUUUUAACAUGUGAUGACCAUUUCUUAUAGAACUCAUUAUUAAAAAAGGAGAUAAUAUCAUGAUCGAAAAUAUUUAUUUAAAUAAUUAUCUAAAUAGUAUGAAUAAAUGAAAAUAUGUAAAAAUAGAUAGAUUUGAUAAUAUCUUAUAAAAAAGCAUUUUAAAAGCUUCAUAGACAUGGUUUGUCUUUAUAAAUUUCUAUAGAUGAUUGAUAGGUUGAAAACUUGGCCGCAUGUUCUAUAUAGUGGUGAUUUGUGGUAUAAGUUGGCCAUGUGGCUCACAUAUAGAAAACUUGUAUUGUAAGUUAGAUAUUUGUCUUAUAAAUUGGACAUAUUUUGAAGGUUGUAUAGAAUGUCAAUAUGUAACUUAUAAAUAAAUAAUAUGUAUAGAGAGACAAGAAUGAAGCCUUUUUUACUCUUAUCGAGUCAUUUUUUAUUUCUAGUCUAGUUUCAAGAGUUUCUAGUUUCCUAGUCUUUCUAAAAAACUAGAAUGGCUUUUUACUAUGUUAAUUACAUAUAAGGCUUAAUUAUGCAAAUUUUAAUUCAAUUAAAUAUGUAUUUUAAAGGAAAUAACUAUUUUCAAAGAAAUAAUACUAAAAAAAUAGCCUAUAGCAUAUAUCUAAAUUUUUUGAAUUUUUUUGUAUUACUAUUUGAUUUAUAUAAUAUACUAUCUAUAUUUUUAAUUUUAAUAGAUUCUAUUUUUUUAUUUAAUACUUAAUUAUGUCAUAAUAGUUUAAAUGAUGAUAUUUGAAUAAUACAAAAAAAUAUAAAUUAUAAAAAUUAUAUAUAUAUAUAUAUAUAUAUAUAUAUAUAUAUAUAUUUUUAAAUUUUAAAUUAAAUUUAAUUAAUAGAAGAAAAUAAAGUUAUAUCUAUAUAUAUAUAUAUAUAUAUAUAUAUGUGUGUGUGUGUAUAUAUGGUGAUAAUCAAUUAUAUGAAAUUUUUUAAUAACUAAAAUAAAAUCCUUUUAAUAAAAUAAAAAAUAUAAUGAGACUUUUAUUAAAAAUAAAUAAAUAAAUAUGAAAGUAGAAUAAGUUAUAUUAUAAAGGGUAUUAUUUUAUAUAAGUUGCUAUUGGUUAAAAGGUUGACUCUUGGUAUAUAAGAAGGCCAACAAAUAAAGUAGAUGAACAAAAAAAAGAUCUUAAGGAUAUAGAAAAUAUAUUAAAAAUAUAUUCUUAUUGUAGAUAAGAUAUCUAUGAAUUUUUUUUAAAAAUAUUGAAUGGAUGUAUUUAUCAAAGGAUGGAAGUUUUCCAUUAGGACAGCAAUCACCUCCUAUAAGUAACAGAUAUUAAAAGUGAGAAAUAUCUUAUUUCAUAUUCUUUUUGUGAGCAACCUUGCUAAUGCUAUGUGUUGAUAACUUCAAAGUUCUUUUUCUUCAAUAGAUUAUGGAUCCACUUACCUUUAAUUGUGAAGUUUAAAGUUCUUUGAAGUUUUCUUGUUGUCAGGAGUAGAUCUUAUGGUUGUUGUUGAUAUUAGAAUUUGAUAUCUUGUAAACUCUCUUUUACAUCUAGUUGUUGAUGUAGUUUUAUUCUUAAUUGUUAUUAAGUACAUUUAUUAUCUUAGAAGGUAUCAAUCACCUUAGAAUAAUAUUAUAGAAUACUAAUAUUAUAUUUCUUUGCUAAGUUACAUAAUUGAUGCACUAGUAUUAUUCUUUUGUGUGUUAAAUUUCUUAAGAGGUUUUCUUAUAGUGAUAAAAAAAUAUUUGUGAGAUUAAAUGUGUUCUUAUGAGAAUUAAGAGUGAUUAAAGAAUGAAAUCACUUGUUUACUCAUAAAAGAGGUAUUUUAAAUUUUUCAAGUAACAAGACCUUUUUUUAUUUAAAGAGCUUUAUCUUCUCUUUUUUUGAUUUUUUUGAUACACCUCUUCAUUAAACAUGGCUUUAAGUGAUAAUAAAGAUUUGAUAGUGAUUGAAAAGUUUAGAAAUAAUAAUUUCUACCACUAGAAGAAAAAAAUGGAUCUUUUAUUGGCUUCACUAGACUUUUGAAAUAUUGUUGAUGAAAGUGAUGAGCUUCCAAGCAAUGAUGCUCAUGUCAAGGUGAAGAAAGAUGACAUGCAUUGUGAAAAAAAGACUUUUGGCUUGAUUCUAUCAAAUUUAAAUGAUGCCAAUUUUUCACAUGUAAUUACUUACAAUGGAUGAGAAAAAGUAUGGAACACUCUUUACAACAUAUGUAAGAAUAGAAACCUUAUCAAUAUUCUAUAGACAAAGAAGAAAUUCUUAAUAAUAAAAAUAGAAGAAAGAAAUGACCUCAUAGCUCAUUUCAAAAAGGUAAUAGACUUGCAAAUCAACUAGCAAUUAUUGACAAGCUAGUUGAUCAUAAGGACAUUGUAUUGACAUUGCUCAUGAGUCUUUUUAAGUCCUACUACUAUCUCAUUGUCACAUUAGAGUCUAUCAAUAUGAAAGAGCUUACCAUGAAUUAUGUCAUAUCAAGAUUUAUCCAUGAAUUGACCAAGAAGAAAGAAAAAUAGCUUCAAAAUGAUGAUUUGGCUUUAUUUUUAAGACAAGGCAAAGGUAGAUAUUUUUACCAAUAUAAUAAUUUAAAAAGUAACAUAAAAAAUUACAAUAUUUAUAAAAAAUCAGCUUAUUUUGUUAAAAAUUACUACAAAGCUAAGAAAGGAGAUACGGAGAAUGCAUACAAUACUAGAGAUAAUUUUGGUAGAGAUGAUUAUGCUUUCAUGGCAAGUGAAGGAGCGUCUAUAAUUGCUAUGUCCAAGAGGAUUAUAGAUUUGGAUGCUACUAAGGACAUGAUACCAUAUAAAUAUUCAUUUGAUACUUAUGAAGAAAUUUCAGCAAUAAAUGUUUCAUUGGUAGACAAUGGUAUGGUAUAAGCCAUUGGAAUUGGCUCUAUUGUAGUGGAGAUCAUUGUGAAGAACCUAAUGAAGAAGAUUAGAUUGAAAGAAGUCCUACAUGUACCAAAAAUGAAGAAGAAUCUUUUUUUAGUGAGCAAACUUACAUUAUAUUGUUAUAAGAUUUAAUUUGAUAUGAAUGGAUUUUUUGUGAAGACAUUGGGUGGAGGAAAUAUUGCCAAAGGUUUGAGAGAUGGUAACUUCUACUUUAUCAAUUGUAAGAAGAUGAAUAAAAUUAAAGUGACGGUAUUUGCUCAGUUUCCACAAAAUCAAGACAAGUUUAAAAUUUGGCAUCAACAAUUUGGUUAUUUAAAUGCCAAAAGCAUGAAAGAGCUUCAAUCAAUGGUAAGUGGCUUGAAUCUUGGUCAAUUUAGCCACAAUAAUAUGACACUUGUAAAGAUUGUAUUCAAGGCAAACAACAAAGGGCUUCAUUUCCUAGAGAAGUUUCAAUACAUACUACCAAAUUGUUGGAGAAUGUGUAUUCUAAUAUUUAUAGACCAAUGAAGAUGCCAUUAAUUGGAGGAGAAAAAUAAUUUUUCACAUUUAUUGAUGAUUUUUUAAAAGGUAUGGAUUUACAUUCUUAAAGCCAAGAGUGACUGUUUUUUAAGGAUUUAAGGAAUUUAAGGCCCUUGUAAAAAAGCAAUGUGAGUGCAAGAUCAAAAUAUUGUAUAUAGACAAUAGAGGUGAAUAUAUGUCAAAAAAAUUUCAUGAAUUUUUAAAGAUCCAAGGCAUUGGAAGACAAACCUCUAUUCCUUAUAUUUUACAAUAAAAUAGAAUUGUUAAAAGAAUAAAUUGUACCAUUGUAGAGAUGAUAAGGAAUAUGCUUCAAGUACAAAAUUUUAGAUAUGAAUAUUGAAUAGAAUCUAUAAUUAUAGUAGUAUAUACAAAGAAUAGGUGUCAUAUUAGUACACUUACAUCAAUGAUUCUAUAAGAAGCUUAGAGUGGCAAAAAAUCUUGUAUUUUAGACAUAAAGAUUUUUGAAUGCAUUACUUAUAUAAAAAUACUAGAUUUUAUGAGGUCCAAACUUGAUAUAAAAAGUAUAAAAUAUUUAUUUUUUGGAUAUUAUGAAAGUACCAAGAUAUAUAGGCUUAUGUGUUUAGAAACCAAGAACAUCAUCAAGAGUCAUGAUGUAGAAUUUUUGGUGCAUAAUAGUACUCAUGAGCACUUAGAGAUGUAUUCAAAUGAGAGUAAUUGUGUAUUUGUGGAUAUAUUUUUAAUUUUGGCAAAAAAAAAAGAAGAAGAUGAUAACAAUGAAGAUGGUAAAGACAUAAGUGAAGAUGAAGAGCCAAAGAAGGUAGAUCAAAGUGUGUCUACAAUUGAUAGAACCAAUAGUAAAGACAAUGAAGAUGUUAAAAAUGAUGAUGAUGAGGAGUAUCAAUCAUUAAUUGUAAAGAAAUAAGCUUUAAGAAAGAAGAAGGUUGCAAGAGACCUUGAAGUGGAAGAGAGUGAAUCUUCAUCAAAUGAAAGGAGAUAUCUUUUGAAAGAUUAAAAAAAAAAAAAAAAAAAAAAAAAAAAAAACUUCGUGGUUGGUGGAUGAAUCACAUCUUUCUUCAAAUAAGUGAAAAACAUGUCAAUAUUUCACUCUUUGCUAAUUCAUUGAAUUUUUUUGAUGCAAUAAAAUCCAUGAAUGCUAUGAAGUAGGAAAAUGCUAUGGAAGAAUAAUAAAAAUCACUCAUCGAUAAUAAAACAUGAAAGAUGAUUCAACUUCCACCAAAUCAAUCUUUAAUUAAUUAUGAGUAGGUAUUUAGAACCAAGAAGGAUAUAAUGGAUAAUAUUCUGAGAUACAAGGCUAAAUUGGUUGCCAAAGGCUACUCACAAGUUAUUAGUAUUGAUUUUAAUGAGAUAUUUGCUCCCAUGGUGAAAUUCAACACUAUUAAAACCAUUGUGGCAAUUGGAGCAGUAAUGGACUUAGAAAUGCAUCAAAUGGAUGUGAAAACGGCUUUCUUAAAUAGAAAAUUAGAAGAAAUCUAUAUAGAUCAAUCUCAAGGAUUUAUUAAAGAUGGUAAACAACAUGUUUUUUGUAAAUUGAAGAAAUCUUUGUAUAGGCUUAAGCAAUCACCAAGGACAUAAUAUCAACAAAUUGACACAUUCUUCUUAAAUGAAGGAUUUGAAAGAAGUAAAGCUUAUUAUUUCAUAUAUAUGAUGUAAUUAAGUAAAUUCAUAUUAAUUGUCAUUCUCUAUGCUGAUGAUUUGAUCAUCUUAACAAAUACAUUAAAAAUGAUGGAUUGAUUGAAGAUAAAGUUAGAAAUGGAAUAUGAGAUGAGAGAUUUGGAAGAGCUUCAUUAUUUUUUAGGAGUGGAGUUUGUGAGAAAUCAUGCUAAAAAGACCAUUAUAAUGAGUCAAAGUAAGUAUAUUAAAGAAAUAUUGAAAUGAUUCAACAUAAAAGAAUGUAAGCCUAUAAGUACAUCUUUGGAGGUAAAUUUAAAGUUGAUGAAGCUCAAAAAUGAAGAAUUUGCUAAAAUUAAAGAUCAAAUAUGAGGUAUUUCAUAUAAGGCAAUAGUGGACUCACUUAUAUAUGCAAUGGUUGGUACAAGGUUGGAUCUUGCAUAUGCAAAAAGUAUUAUGAACCAACACAUAUCAAAGGCUGAAUCAAUCCAUUGAAAAACCAUCAAAAAGAUCAUGAGGUACUUAAAAGGCACUUUGUAUUUCAAAUUGUGCCUUGGAAGUGAUAACAUUACUUUAUAUGGUUAUUAUAAUGCUGAUUGGAUUAGAAAUACAAAUGAUAGAAGAUUAACAAAGGAAUAUAUGUUCUUUGUUGGAGUGGGAGCUAUCUCAUGGAAUUAAAAGAAAUAACUCUUAAUUGCAAGAUCGACAAUGGAUGCCAAGUACAUGGUAGCAAGUCAUGAUGCAAUAGAAGUAAUAUAGCUAAGAUAACUUUAAGAAGACAUUGGAGUAGUAUAAAUGGAAUCAACUUCAAUAGAGUAUGACAAUCAAGGAUGUCUUGCAUUUGCAAAGAAUCCAAAGCAUGAUUCAAGGAUUAAGAACAUUAACAUUCAAUAUCACUUUAUAAAAGAGAAGAUUGAAAUGGGAGUGAUUGAUAUGAAGUAUUGUAUAAUAGAAGACAUGCUUAUUGAUUUGUUAAAAAGCGCAUUAGUAAAAAAUAGGCAUCACAUAUUGACUAAGGCAUUAGGAUUAAAAGCCUUUAACCAAUAGCAAAAUAGGAGUGUUAAAAUAAAUAAGUAAAUAAAAAAAUAUGAUAAGUUACAUUGUAGAAGAUAUUACUUUAAAUAAGUUGCCAUUGAUUAAAGGGUUGGCUCUUAGUAUAUAAGAAGGCCAAGGAAUAAAGUAGAUGAACGGAUAAAAGAACUUAAGAAUAUAAAAAAUAUGCUAAAGUCAUAUUUUUAUUGUAGAUAAGAUAACAAAAGAUAGUCUUAGUAAAAUAUUUGAUGGAUGUAUUUAACAAAUGAUAGAAGUUGUCCAUUAGAGCAACAGCUACUUCCUAUAAAUAAUAGAUGUUGGAAGUAAGAAAUAUCUUAUUUCAUACUCUCUUUGAGAGCAAUAUUACUGAUGCUAUGUGUUGUUGACUUCAAAGUUCUUUUUCUUUAAUAACUUUUUAAUCAAUAAAAUAUAUCCUAAUGAUUUAAAUAUAUAUAUAUAUAUAUAUAUAUAUAUUCAAAGUUUGAUAAAUUAUUCAAAGUAAAUAUAAAUUUAAAAAAUUAUAAAACUAAAAGUAUGCAAAUAGAAGAAUAUAAUCAAUUAAUUCAAAAAAUAAUAAAUCCUAUUAAAACCAAUCAAAGCAAUUUACUUAUAAAACAAAAUUAUAUGCAAUAGAAAAUUUUAUAUAUAACUUCUAAGGUCUUUAAUUUUAUAAUAUAUAAAAUGAAAAUAAAAAUAUUAUAAAUUAUAAAUAAAAUCAUAAAUAAUAAAUAACUUAUAUAUUAAAUAAUUCAAAUAUAAAACAUUAAAUAAUUCAAAUAUAAAAUAUUAUAUAAUUUAUAAAAAGAUGAUUAAAACUAAUAUAUUAUAUUUAAAAAGAGAUAUAAUAUUUAGAAGUAAUAUUUUUAACUUGUAAUUAAGAUAUUAUUUGAUAAUUGAUCAUUUAGAUAGAAUGAAUAAAUCACUAAUACAGAUCAAUUCAUUAUAAAAAAAAAUAUCAAAAAUUCAAAAUAUUUAUUAAUUAAAAUGAUUACAAAUAUUGAUGUAAAAAAAUAUGUAACUUUAAAUGAUAUAAUAAUAUAAGAUAAAAUUAAAUGUAGAUUAUUAUUUAUUUUUUGUAAUAAAAAUUUUAAGAUUAAAUUAAAAGAACUAGUUCUUAAAAUAAUUAUAACACUUUUUCAUGGGAGUCAAGCUAAAUAUUAAAAUUACUUAUAAAAUAAAUUUUAGUUAAAUUAUGUAAUAUCAUGUUAAUAAAUACUAGCCAUCUUUUUUUUUUUUUAAUCUUUUCAUUAGGAAAAUAACUAUAAAAUCAAUUACUUAAAAAAAUCCACAACAUUUUUUAAAAAAUAAUCAAAAUUAAUAUAAAAACUAUAAUGAAAAAUAAAUAAAUAAAUAAAUAAAUAAAUAAAUAAAUAUUUAAAUUUCCAUAAUUGAUAAUUAUAUACAAAUAAUUUUUCAUUUAAGAAUAGAUAUAAUAUCUUUUGUAUACGAAAGAAGUAACCACAAAACAUUUUAUGUUCAUGAUGGAAACUUAAGAAAGCUUUUAUAUAAAUAUAAAUUUUUUAAAAAUUAAUUUGUUUUAGAAAUUAAAGCUCAAAAGUCAUAUAAGAAUUGGAAGAAUGAUUAAUAUAAAAAAAUAAGUGUUAUAAAAAAAAGAAUCAAGACACACAUCAAAACUAGUGAUAUGAAAAUAAUAUAUUUUCUAAAAAAUAGAAAAUGAAUUAAUUUAAAAAUAAAUUAAUAAAUUAACAUGGUUAUAUAAAUGAAUUAAUUUAAAAAGAAUACAAAAAAAGAAUAUAAAAAGAAGAAGCUAGAGAAAAGAUGCAAUUAAUGCAGAUUCAAAAAGCAUUAAUAAUUUUAGAAAAUUGAUUGUUAAAUAAAUAAAUAUAUAUGUAUAUAUAUAUAUAUAUAACAUAAUAUCAAUAAUAAAUUUUUUUGACAAAAAUGCAUAAAUACAUAUAAUUUUACUCACUUUGGAUAAUAUAUUUUUAAAUUAAUUAAUUAAUUAAUUAAAUUUAUUUGAUUUAUUUCUUUUUUAAAAUAUAUUUAGACCAAUUUCAACUCCUUAAGAAUGUCAUGGACAUACAUAUUUAUCUUGAUAAUUAUCUAGCUAAUAAGAAUAGAUAGAAGUAAGUCAAAGUAGAUAAAUAUGAUAAUAUCUUGUAGAUAGCUUCUUAGAAGUUUCAUAGACAUUGCUUUUCUUUUAUACAUGCCUAUAAGUGAUUAGUAGGUUGAAAACUUGGCCAACAAGGAGGCCAAAUGUCGACAUGUUGACCGCUUAUAGUAUAAAUUGGACAUAUGGCACACACCUAGGAAACUUGCUUUACAAAUUAGACAUGUGUCCUACAAGUUGGAUGUUUAUUAGAGGUCCUAUAGCAUGUCGCCGCAUAGUUUUUAGUUAAGUAGUAUAUAUAGAGGCAAGAGUGAGGCCUUCUUCAAUCUUGUCAAUUCCUUUCUUGCUUUUAGUGUAGCUUCAAGAAUCUUAUGUUUUCUAGUCUUUGGCAAUAGCCAUUCUAGUUCUUCUUUGAAUAUACAUAUUUUCUUCUAUUUUGUUACUUUUCUUUUUAUACAAAUUCUAUGAGUUUAUGUAUCUUCUUUUAGUUUGUGUCUUUGACAAAUUAAUAAGAGUCUACAUACAAUAUUAGAGUUUUGUCCUUUCUUCAUUAAAAGUAGAUUAUUCCUUUUUUUUUGAUAAGAUAUAAGCAUAUUAGAAGUUGCGGAUUACUGUCUUUUAAAUUGAUAUUAUUUUUAGAAUUUUUUUUCAUGAUUCUUGAAUAUUAUAUUCUAUAAGUAUAGACACAUUUUUUUUUUAUUGUACUAGCAUGGCAGAGCUUCCUAAAAUGAAGAAUGUAAUGGUUGAAAUGCAAAAGCAAAUGAGAGAAUUAAUGCUUGAAAUACAUCAAUUCAAUCUACCACCACAAGAAGCAAUAAGAUUAUCAAGCAAUGAAGAUAUAGAGAUGAUUGGAGUUACUUCAACAUCUACACUAAGUCAUACUACUACUCUUACAACAGAACAUCAUUUAAGUUUCAAGAAACCAAAAAUUAGAUUACUUGAAAAGUUUGAUGGCAUAAGAUCUAAGUUUUGAGGAUUCAUCAAUCAGGUACAAUUGAUAAUUGAACUACAACCUCGAAGUUAUCUAACUCAAAGAUCACAAGUCAAGUUUAUUAAAGCACUACUUUCAAGUUAUGUUUUAUCAUGAUUUUCAUCAUUUCUUGAAUGACAUGAUGCAAUAUUGCAUAAUUUGAAAGUAUUAGUAGCAGAGUUUUGAUCUAUGUAUAGAGAACAUGAUGCAAAUUAUAUUGCAACUAACAAGAUUUGUAUCUUACGACAAGACAAUCAAUUAGUGAUAUUAUAUGCUUCAUAAUUUUGAUAAUUAGCAACAGAUAUCAAGUAGGAUGAUGCAACACUCAUCAACUAAUUUCUCUAUGGAUUAUAAUAUGAAGUAAAGAAAUUGAUGCUUAAAUUAGUUGAUCCUCAAAUCUUGAGUCAAGUAAUUAAUUUUACUCUGAAAUAUGAUAAUUGGCUUUUUGAAUUUCGAUCUGAGAAUUGCAUAAGAAAGCCUCAAGAUUAUUAUAAUUUAAUGACGACACCAAUAAUUCUUAAAUCUAAAAAUUUGGAAGUAGAAGACAUGCAAAUUAAUACAAUACAUUUUAAAUCUCUUACUGAAUAAGAAAAGAUUCAUCGUUGUCAAAAAGGACGAUAUUUAUAUUGUGAAAAAGCUAAGCAUACUACUCAAUAUUAUCUAAAGAAAUAAAGCAACUAUAAAAUAAAGAGUACUGCUAUCAAAGAUGAAAACAUGUGAGAAAAUGAAUUUGUACAACUACAAUAGGAACUAUGCAGUUGGAAUCUUGUACAAUUUCUAAUAAAGGUCCUAUUCUUUCCUCAAAACCCUCUCCUUGUUUUAUAAUAGAUGUGUAUUUAGGAUCUAAUAACCACAAAGCCUCUAUUUUAAUAGAUUGAGGAGCCUCACCUUGUUUUUUAGAUGAAGAAUUUAUAAAAAGUCAUAAUAUACACUUAGUACAAAAAAUUAAACCCAUACACGUAGAAAUCAUAGACAAUCGUUUAUUAUCUUUUAAAGAUAUUACUCAUGAAAUACUUUCUAUAGAUGUAAUAAUAAAUGGUCAUAAUAGUCAUGUAAUUUUUAAUAUAAUUAGAUCUCCUUCUAAUCCAAUCAUUUUAGGUUUAUCGUGGCUAAAAAAAUAUAAUCUUGUGAUAGAUUAGAUUUCUUGUAAACUUGACUUUUUUUCAAACACCAUUAAGUUUUUUUCUAAUCCAAUAAAAAGCCAUGAAUCUAGUAUAGCCAAACAUGUACUUAUAUAUGCAAAAGCUUUUUUAGAUGCUAUAAAAGAAGGAUCAUCUUUUUUUAUUUAUGCCACACCCAUUUCAAAUAAUGGAAAGAUUUCAAGUGAAAUUCCAAGUCAAUAUUAAGAUUUUAAAGAUAUUUUCGAGAAGAAGAAUGCAGAUAUUAUCUUGAAGCAUCAUCCAUAUGAUUGCUGAAUCAAUCUUAAAGAAAGAACUUAGUCGCCAUUUGGUCCAAUCUAUAAUUUAUCACAAAAUGAGUUACUUGAACUCAAGAGGUAUAUUGAUGAGAACUUGGCCAAGAAUUUCAUACGCCAUUGAAAAUCUCUUACAAGAGCUCUUAACUUAUUUAUAAAGAAAAAAGAUAGUUCAAUUCAAAUAUGUAUGGAUUAUCGAGGAUUCAACUAGAUUACCAUCAAGAAUAGAUAUCCUUUGUUUUUGAUAUCUGAACUUCUUGAUCAAUUAAAUCAAGCUAAGAUCUAUACAAAAAUAGAUCUACAAAGAGCGUAUAAUUUGAUACACAUUAAAAAAAGAGAUGAAUAGAAGAUUACAUUUCGAACAAAGUAUGGACACUUUGAAUAUAAUGUCAUGCCUUUUAGACUCACAAAUGCACCAAUUGCUUUUCAAUAUCUUAUGAAUGAUGUUUUUUGUGACUUUCUAGAUGAUUUGGUUGUCUAUUACUUAGAUGACAUUUUAAUCUACUUUAAGAAUGCAGAAGAAUAUGAAGUUCAUGUUUGUCAUGUAUUACAAAAACUUAGAGAUGCAAGAUUAUAUACCAAGAUGAAAAGUGUAUAUUCCACACUAUUCAAGUUGAAACAUCAUUUCAAACAAUGGUCUAAUGAUGGAUCCUAAAAAAAUUCACACAAUCAUAGAUUAGAAGAUUCCAAAAACAAUAAGUGAUGUAUAAUGUUUUUUGGGAUUUGCCCAUUACUAUCAGAUCUUCAUCAAGAACUUUUCUUAAGUUGCAACGCUACUUACACACUUAACUUAUAAGAACAAGCUUGAGUAGAAUAAAGAAGUAAAAGCAUCAUUUUAAGCUUUGAAGAAAGUUUUUACUUUUGCACCAAUCUUAUAUUACGUUGACUUCUCCAAAGAAUUUUUUAUGGAAAAAAAUGCAUCUAAUUUUGCCUUAAAUGUAGUCUUUUCAUAAAUAGGAUUAGAUGACAAACUUCAUCUAAUAGCUUUUCAUUCAAAAAAAAUUUCAGCAGUCAAGAUUAAUUAUGAGAUCCACGAUAAAGAACUUCUUGCAAUUGUGGAUUCUUUUCAAGAAUGGCACCAUUAUUUAGAAGGUGCUUCAAGUCCAAUCACUAUAUAUAUGGAUCACAAGAACCUUGAGUAUUUCAUGUUAGUACAUAUUUUGAAUCGUCAUAAUUCUCAUUGGAGCAUGUCUUUGUCAAGAUUCGAGUUCAAUAUCACUUAUUGGCCAAGAAAACAAUAAGAUUUGUCUAAUGUCUUUUCUAAAUGUUCUUAUCUUACAUCAAAAGAAGGAAAAUCAACUUUUGAUCAACAAAAGAUAAUUUUACUGAAGCUUGAAUAAUUUCAUCUCGGAGUAAUGAAAUCAAUAUUAACUAUUGAUUUGACUUUUUUCAAGCAGAUCCAAGCAAGUAUGUUCUCAGAGUUUUUUAUUCAUGAUAUUAAAAACUAUUCCUCUAAGUCUCAAGAUACUUUUGAGUUUGAAUUUAAAGAGAACCUACUCUAUUUCAAAGGAUACUUAUAUAUUCCGGAAGGAGAAGCAUGAUUACGUGCUCUUGAAGCUCAUCACAAUUUCUCUGCAGUAAGACAUUUUGGAUAUAAUAAGACUUUGGAGCUUAUAUCUAAAGAUUUUUAGUAGUUUCAAAUGUAGAAGGCUAUUAAAGAAUUUUUGUAGAUAUGUGAUAUUUGUUUAAGAUCAAAAACUUCUCGUCAUCGACUUUAUGGACUCCUCCAACCAUUACCUAUACCAAAACAACCAUGGUCUUUUGUCUCUAUAGAUUUUAUCAUGAAUCUUCCAAUUUCAAGUUCAUAUGAUUUCAUAUUUGUGAUUGUAGAUCGUUUCACUAAGAUGGCACAUUUUUUAUCAUGUACAAAAUUUAUCAUAGGUGAAGGAAUAGCUAAAUUCUUCCUUGACAAUAUUUAUCGCUAUUAUAGAUUAUCAAAGGAUAUUAUAUUAGAUAAAAGAAUAUAGUUUUUAUCAAGUUUUUAGAGAAUUCUUUUAAGAUAUUGAAAAUGGAUAUAAAACUAUCUUUGGCUUUCCAUCUUUAAAUUGAUGGACAAACAAAAUGGAUAAAUCAAAUUUUAGAUUAGUAUUUGAGGUGUACCAUCAACUAUCAACAAGAUGAUUGAACAAUUCUUUUGCCAUUGGUAAAGUUUGCUUACAAUAAUUUGAUACAUUCUUGUACUCAAGAAACAUCUUUCUUUGCCAAUUACGGUUAUCAUCCACGAUUUGACACUUUUGACUUUUCAAAAGUUAAUAAUCUUGCAACAAAAGAUGUGGCAAAUUGAUUGUCAGAGCUAUAUGCAAUAAUGAAGGUACAAUUAAAAGAAUCUCAAGCAUGAUAAAAAAUCAAUGCAGAUAUCUAUUGCAAGGAACAACCUCAAUUUCAUGUGGAAGAUAAAGUAUGGUUACUUCAUCGUAAUAUUAAAACUAUUUGUCCUUGUGACAAGCUAAAUUAUCGUAGGCUUGGACCAUUUCCCAUUUGUCAAUAGAUCAAUCUAAUUGCUUAUCGAUUACAUCUACCAAACUCUAUGAAAAUCCAUCUUGUAUUCUAUGUAUCUUUACUUGAACUAUACAAGACAAUGGAUAUAUAAGGAAGGAGACAAAUGCCACCACUUUCUAUAGAAGUAGACAAUAAUGAAGAAUUUGAGGUGGAAGAAGUCUUAGAUUCAAGGCGGUACCAAAAUAGGUUAAAAUAUCUAGUACAUUGGCAUGGAUAUGACAUUAAUGAAUGCAUAUGGGAGCCAUCCAGGAAUCUAGGAAAUGCAUCAACUAAAGUUAAAGCUUUUCAUCAACGACAUCCAUCAAAACCAACAUGAAGAGUCAAGAAAUUCUUUGCUAUAAAGCAAAGCAAGCCCAAUGGAGAUUUCAUUCUAUCUUGUAUCAUUGUUUCUUUAGAUUUUUUAAUGCUUAGGAGAUGGAGAACCAACAACUAGCAGAUUCAGCUCAAGAGCUAUCAUUUACUGAGCUACAUGACGAGACAUUACGAUUAUCACAACCUUCAAGAUUACAAAAUUGAAAUGAAGAUCUUUAAGAACGAUAUAUUUUUUCUUGAAUAGAUGGUGAAAUAUAACGCGUUUGGUACCACAACCUUAGAAAGCAUCCCUGUUGUUUAGUAAUACUUUUGGAAGUAUGAACUACUCUUGAUGGUAUUACUAAUGUUUUGUUUGAACGAAGUUAUGAAGGCCUCAAUAAUGAUCAAAUAUUAGGGUGAUCUUCUCGCCCUAGUAUGGGACAUUAUUGAUGGUUGAAGGGACCUAUCAACUACCUUCAAAGGAAACAAAGAUCACAAUAUGUGACAAAUACAAUUCGAUGCAUCUUAGACUUCAUCAACAUACAAUGACAGCUCCUUAUGGAACUCGUCCCUAGAAAGGGGGAUAAUGUCACAAAUAUACAUAUUUAUCUUGAUAAUUAUCUAAAUAAGAAGAAUAUGUAGAAGUAAGUCAAAGUAGAUAAAUAUGAUAAUAUCUUGUAGAUAGCUUCUUAGAAGCUUCAUAGAUACUGCUUUGUCUUUAUACAUGUCUAUAAGUGAUUAGUAGGUUGAAAACUUGGCCAACAAAGAAGCCAAGUAUCCACAUGUUGACCACUUUUAGUACAAGUUGGACAUAUGGCACACACCUAGGAAACUUGCUUUGCAAAUUAGACAUGUGUUUUAUAAGUUGAACAUGUAUUAGAUGUCCUAUAGCAUGUCGCCACAUAGUUUUUAGUUAAGUAGUAUAUAUAGAGGCAAGAGUGAGGCCUUCUUCACUCUUGUCAACUCCUUUCUUGCUUUUAGUCUAGUUUCAAGAAUCUUAUGUUUUCUAGACUUUGGCAAUAGUCAUUCUAGUUCUUCCUUGAAUAUACAUAUUUUCUUCUAUUUUGUCACUUUCUUUUUGAUACAAAUUCCAUGAGUUUAUGUAUCUUCUUCCAAUUUCUGUCCUUGACAAAGAAUCCCAUGAAUGUAUUCUUUUUUAGAUUAUACUAUUGUUUUAUAUUUCUACUAUAAAAUAUUGGUUAGGCUUUAAAUAGUUUUCACUAUUCCAAAAUAAUAACAUUACUACUAUCAUUUAAUGCAAGUGUAUUUUGUACCAAUUUCCUUAGUUAGAUGGAAGAUACCAGCCCAUGUUUUACUUAAUUGUGAAAAAAAUCAGAAUAUUAGCUCAAGCUCCCGAACGCACGUGCAGCAGAACAACAACCGGUGACCCCUCCAACUCAGAAAGGCACAGCCACUGUUGGUAACUGGGAAUUGCCGGUAAACUCAGGAGAUUGAAGCGUAAACCCCGCUUGGGGCUUUUAGGUCGUCCUAAACUCUCACUUCACCUCCGCGGACUAGCAGGUUCGUCUCGCAAUCGGUGCGAUUGCUUCCCUGCCCCAUUCAUUGUGUGCGGCAUCGGGUCCUUCCAUCUUUCUCCUCACUUUCCCAACUUCAUUUCGAGCAUUUAUUUGUAGCUUUUGGUGGUUUGUGGAGGUAAUUAGAGAUUGCUGACAAGUAGAAAGCGUCGAAACUGAAGGGACUUUAAUUUUAGGUUCGUUUGGCGUUUUUGCCAUUUUCCAUUGUAGCUGAGGAUUUCUGGUCUUAAGGUGUUGAAGUGGCCGACAGUUGGUCGUGUUAGGCGUUUGAGUUUGGAGCGGAUUGAAAGAAGGGAGUUCAAUUUGUCGAAUCAGGGUUGGGUUUUGAUUGUGCCGCCUUUUUGCGGCAAUUUUUGCAUUGUUAAUUCGAUCGUCAAUCUUUUUAUGUGAGCGCUUUCUGUGUCUAAAUUUUGUCGUAUUGGUGCAAUCAUGGUUAUUCAUAUUUCGGGGCCAUUGUGUGAUGCGUAGGAUUUUUCUUUUCAAAUCUAGUUCAAGGAGCUGAAUCCGGCUACAAGGAGAUCAAAAUGCAGGCUGUGCGGGCUGCUGUGUUGAAGCGCAUGCGAGUGGGAGUGACCGCACCAUGGGUUCAAGCUCCUGUUGUUACCAAUGCCUCUCGGCUAUUUUCCGCUGAGGCCCACGGGACGUACUUGGACAAGCACGUCGUUACCGACCGCGUUUUGAGUGUUGUCAAGAAAAUGCAGAAAGUGGAUAGCGCUAAGGUAUCGUCUCGUGAUCAGAGGGUCAACUGCUUUCAUAUGGAAUGAUAUUGAAUACACGUGAAGAAAACUCACGUGCUUUUAUAAUUCUUGUGAAAUCUUAUGUGGUAUGACAUUAUUAUGCCUUUAGGGUAGGAAGCUCGAAACCAAGAAUUUGUCCACCAACAAUUCUCUUCAGCUGUGUCCUCUUGGCUGCCACUGGUGGUGUGACUCCAGAGCAUGACCAGUUUGUAGUGAUCAUCGCUCGUGACGUCAUUUUUCUAUAUGGCUCGAGAUGUGGGAUUGAAACUAUGAGCAACGGUCUCCUAGUACUGUGUUGAAGAAUUUUUUUAAUGUUUCUCACACCAAAACCUAAUUACCACUAUACGUAUUAUAAAGCGGCUAAGCAAUAUCAUUGUGUGUUUGGAAUAGGUGACUCCCAAUGCACAUUUUCAAAACGAUUUGGGACUCGACAGCUUGGACACUGUAGAGGUUGUCAUGGCCUUUGAAGAGGAAUUUGCAAUUGAGAUCCCCGAUGCUGAUGCGGACAAGAUCACUUCGUGUGCCGAUGCUAUUGAGUACAUUGCUUCUCAACCCAGAGCAAAGUAAAGAAAUGGAUUAAAGUUUUGGUUUUACCCAGGCAAUUUGUGAAUUGCAAUGAAACUUGUGGAGGUCCUCCUGGUUGGGUAGGAUUUUCGUGUUCUGUUAUUCUUCGGUGUUGAGGAUAUUACAUGCCAAUCUUUCUAGACUUAAUGUAAGUGACAACUUCACUUUCCCCAAUAUCUCUCAUCAUGGUGAUAAUAAUACAGCGGUCUUCAUUGCAAUUAGCGAGCCAAUGUACUUGCAACUUUUUCAGUGCUUGGAUUAUAUCUUAAAAAAUUCAAGCGGCUGGACGUGUGCGUCCUAAUCGGUUGGCAAUGUACUGUCGAUUGAAGUACCGCGUAUUUAUCCAAUCAACGCUAGAUGUAUUUGAAAAGGAGUCUAUUUCGAAAAAUUCCGUCUGCUUUACAGUGAUGAGAGGUACUGAUAGAGUGGAUUGUAUGUUAAAGUAGAACAAUGUUCCAACACCAAACAAGUACACAGUUUGAGAUUGGUGAUGUUCAAACAGACCUACACACAUUAAUCGAAGUGCAAGCGAUGUCGGAAGUGUCCUGAUCAAAGAUGAAAAAUAUAGUCUAUUCCACUUUCAAUAUUUGCAGGGGACUUACCACUAACACCGAGCGAUGCCAACGACUAUUCGUACAAAUGAGCAGCGAAAAAAAUAUCACAUUCCACUUCCGAAACUCGUUCAACGCCGGACUAUGAGCCUCCCUUCCAUCCUAAUCCCACGCAAUGUCAAUUACCACUAGCAAUUUACACAACCUUCAAGCGAAAAUCAACCUAUACACAAACCAUAACAGCUAUAGCUCCUUCCUUUACCAUAAUCACUAAUAAUAUGUCAUCUUGCUGACAUCUAGCUUUCAGUUACAGUAAUGUCCAAAGUCCCAGUCUUCAGUCAUAUCUCAAACCCCAUCUUAUUUCAGCAUGGCCAUCAUCACCUUCACCUGCACUCUGAUAUGUUAAUGCGUGCAUGUGUACUUUUGUAUAGAGUGCAGUAAAUCACACAUUCUGUAAGAGACCUUCACAAAUAUGGAACAAAACUGAUGUCGUACAGACUUUUACUACCUAAAUUGAUUACACUCUUCAUAGUAUAGUACACUUAAUAGGUUCACAAACCAUCAUCAUGAAAGUUUGAGGUUGAGCUCUGAGAACGUCCAGUGUUAUAGACAUAGCAAGGAGUUGCACCACACACUUUCAAGUUGAAUUUUAGUUAUAGGCAACACUAGGAAACUAAUAGAAGGUAUAUCUAACAUCUAUGAAUGAUAAAUUUGAAAGUCAAGACUAAUGUUGGGAGCUAAAUUAAAGUUUGAAACUUUUGAAGUUAGCAUUAGGAUUAAUAUAGAAAUUAAUGCAAAGAGUAAUCAUUGCAGACUUAAAACAUGAGGGACAUAGAUCUAUGAGCAUAGAGACGAUAUUGGCUUAACAUACAAAAAUUGAAGAAACAAAAAUGAUCCUUUUGUAUUGCAAGGCAUAAAAAAAAAAAAACACAAAAACACAAAAAAACUCAAAACACAAAACACAAAAACACAAAAAACAAGAACAAAAACAAAAAAAACACACAAAUAAUUCUAUCUCACAAAACAAGCACGGAGAGAAAACUGUUCCAAGGAUAUGAUAGAAGUUACAUCAAAUACACUAAGCUUAUAGAAUUAACAACGGUGGAGAUUGAUAACCCUCUGGAAUGUGUCAAAAUUGAAUUUCUAUUUAAUUGUGUUGUAAUUGUAGGUUUUGCAGAAAGUAACCAAACUCCUCCAAGCAUUGAUGCAUGCCUUGCUAAAUUAGAAAAGUAUUUAAGAAAAACAAUUUAGAAAAAAAAUUGGAAAAAACCUCUAGAAAACUUAUAUUAAUUAACAUUUGGGCAUAAGUGAUAAAAACUUUGAAAAUGCCAUUACUUACAGUGUAACAAUAGAGUGCAAAAGUGUAGUAUAUAGAAAUCAUAAUAGGAAGAAGAUUUCAUGUAAGAGAACUAAAAUUUAGGACAAUUCUCAUACUAUUAAUUAAAUACACUGCCUAUAACUACAAUUAAACCUAGCACUUGUAAUUGCACUCCCCUAGCAUAUACGAAAAAUUACCAAAGUCAAUUAACUAAUGAAUCAUGGCAAGAAAUACAAAGAGAUUUAAAAUUGAAUUUUUUGGAUUUUUAAAAUUCUAAAUACAAUAAAAAUUUCAUCAAGAUACUUAACGAUAUUGUAUAAUGCAAUGACAUAUGAAAACAAUAAAAGACCCACUUAAACCCAACGUCCAAAAUAAACCAGGAAAUUCAUACCCAACCUUUACAAAUAAACAAUUGUGAAGUGUGUUCCUUUUCAGUAAAACUAAAACUAAAAUAACCAAAUUCAAUUUUGAGAAUAACCACGAGGUUAAUUUAACUUCAGGUUUGUUCCGAAGAAAUUUUACACUCAAAUAACGUGUCCCAAAUGAAAUAACACUUCAAAUUUGUCAGAUAUCAAACAUAACUAAAUACUUGGAAUACUUCCAUCAAAACGCUUCUCACUUCUUCCAAAGGAUGGAAGUGGAUUCAACUCAUACACACCAAAAUAUGGCCAUUACAUCGAAUUCAUUCAAGAUUUCACUUCUCUAGCAUUCCCAACUUAAUCCACAUAUUUGAGCAAAAAACUUUGUUUCCACGCAAACACCUCAAUAACACGACUACAUAAAAACAGAUAACAAAAAGCAAGAACAAACAAACACAUGCUGUGACGCUGUUUCCUAUUGGUGAAACAUUCCAACCACUUUGUACUUACAAAUUGAUUCUACAAGUGCCUACAGAUGCUUCUGCAUCUACCAUGUGUUUGUAAAAACUUCUCCUACAAUUUUUGUGCAACCAGAUAUUUACUGCAGAAACACGCAAAUUCGGCACUCGUCAGACGAAAAAAAGAAACAAGACGACACGACACGACACCGUGAAUGUCGCAUCCCUGAACUCUGAUUGCAUCAUUCAAACUAUCUCCACAACUACCGUAAUCUGCUCAAUCGCAGCACCCGAUAGCACGUUGCCAAUCAAAGCAUCCAAUAACAUCCCCAUGUCACUCAAAACAGCAUUCCAUAGCACACUCUGAUACACCCCUACCCACCAUGUACUUCCAUCCAACUUCUACGCUAUCAACAUUCGUGCUUUCUGCCACCCCGACCUCACCCGCACCAAAUAACUCAAAUGCUGUCCCCUGCUAACUCAGCAUCACCGCCUCGCAAACCCGAACGCAUCCUCACUUCGUACUCACCGCAACCCCCACUCACUUGCCCCGGCCAUCGCCCACACGAUGCACUCCACUAAGAUUCCCACUCCUGACCACGCCCAACACACCCCACCCAUGCUCACGCCUCCUUGCCUCCCUGCCACAGGAGGACCCCUCCGACCUCCCACCUCGAGCCCAUCCCAUCGCGCCUUCCCACACCCAACGCGCACUCCCGUGCACCAAGACCCGCUCCCUUUCACAUACACCGACCUACUCACCCAACGAUAUCCACCAUUCCGCUAUGCGAUCCACGCUCGUCGGGGCAUUGCUCCAACAUCCUCGCACGUCCUUUCAUCUACUCUCUGCACAUCUCGACCACACACGCUCCACACUAUACCACUCACACCAAAACCGGUGCCGGUCCACGACACACACACACAAACACACACAACCACACAACACAAACCCUCCUCCCACGCACCCACCCACAGUAAAUCGUACCCUUCCAUCCCACGUUCACAAAGCGCAUUCAACCCACCAGCUCACCCAUCACCUCAACUACUCCACUCCCCUUUUCACCGCAAAAACACAGCUUGCAACUGCACCCACAACCACACGCCACGGCCAUCCAUGACUACCAUCCUCGAAAGAAAUGGGUACUAUGCAUUCAUGCAUCCCAGCCCGUAGGCCACCCCGACACACUUGGAUGCGCACUCUUUGCUUACUCACGAUGACUCAACUCUUCAUCGCCAAAACAUCUUAACAUACCAUAAUGUCCGCACCACUCUGCCGGUAAUGCUGGAAGAUAGGCAAUAUCAAACAGUUUCUUCUAGCCUCCCUCAUUCAUACAACACUUCCUCUAGUCCCAUCAGUUCAUGGUCCCUCGUGUGUGCACAAACGCCCAGCCCAGCAUUCUGGACUGCGCUUGCUCAACUGUCACUGUCAGGCCCAGAUCGUGCUUUGCAACCCGCCUGCUACUACUAUCCGCCUUAUCACGGCACACUCUACUCGAACGCCCACUGAUUCUCCCUCCUCACUUCCUCUUCCUCCUCCGGAGUGAAGUCGUUCUUGAUGUUGAACGUUUUCCUGAUCUCCUCCGGCGUCUUCCCCUUUAUCAUGUCCGCCACCGUCUGGCACGUCAAGUCCAGCAGGUUCUUGAUGUUCAAGUAGUUCGCUGCCUGUUCCCAUCAUUCACCACCCCGACGUCAGCACAACUCCUCACCCCAAGUCACCCCCUCCUCUCUCGCCCCACAAACGUUGCACGCGCCAUCAUCGCGCUUCCGCCCCCGCUGGGAUGCACCCCAUCCCCCGCCCUGCACGCAACAAACAGGGUCGCAUGCACAUCACUUACCAGGAUCAGGUCGAACAGCGUAGCUUGGUCCACCUUCACAAAGUCCGCGUCCCACGCCUUGAUGUCGUCCUCCGAAGCGGCGGGCUUGUCAUCCGUCGCCCCCUUCUGAUUAUCCACGUGGUACUUGCAGUAUUCGAUCACCUUCGCCAGGAUCUUGCUCGACACGUUGGGCAGCGGGAUCACGGCGUCCUUGCCCGUGUCCUCGAUCAUGUUCUUCACCGCCUGUGACUCGAACGCCACCGCCUCGUCCACCUCGAACAUCUCGUCAUCCGAGCUCCUCAAUUUCACGCGCUGCUCCGCCAUGGCCACCAACAACGGUCACCGGAUCCCUGCACACACCCACCCAACAUAUCAACCGCGUUCAGAAUUCCUUGUCCGCCUACCACCUCCGGUUCCGCCACCACCGUGCUUCCCCAUGCCAAUGUGACCAAACAUACUCGUGACCCCACCACCAAAUCGUCGGAACCACCGACACUUGCGAUCGCCCUCUCCGACGUCGACAACCACCAAGCCUCGACCGGGACGCACUCACGCCGCACAAUGUAGGCGUGGGCUCCACAUCGACACCGCCGUGGGCGAGAGACCAACCCUGGACCGACCACAACGGCCAACCCCUCUGCGGCGUACUCCGCUCGCCCACCCUUUGCUCCAUGCAAAUCGACGCCAUGCUGCGCAACAGGGCUCCGCGGCUCGGAACCCCCUGCCCGACCCACCAGCGCCCACAUACCCUAAACGCCGCUGCAAUCCUAAAAUGCUGCCGACCACGGAGUCUCCCAGCGUCACGCCCUGACAAAGCUGCGCUGCUACAACUUUGCCACCAAACUCAACGACAACCUAUGCGCCCACUCGUGCUCUCCCCCCCCCCCAACACUCAUCGUAGCUCAAACGGGAUUGCGCACCACCCCUGGCCGCUUCCCACGACAUGCCCGGUGCUCAGCGUUCCUUCAAGAACACUCUUAACUCGGGCGCUCACUCGUACCUCAUCCAACCCACCGUUGUGCCCACGCUAAACGCUAACGCAACCAGACCCUUUCCACCCCACGCUUGCGUCAAAUUCUGACGACACCAACCCACCCAAUCUGCUGCGUGUUCUGCGACACCCACGCCCAACCGCAACACACAAACACCCGAUCGAUGCCGCGCCCAGAUUCACAUCGCUUCUCGUCAAUCCUUCGGACCACGGACCGCAAUCCGCUGCCCUUCGACGGCCCCCCAAAGCGCACACAAAUCGCACCCCAAGUAUCAAUUCUCCAAACGGGUUCCCAAAUUGAACCCGCGAAGAUCACCCGCGACCCUAACAAUCCACCUCCGCGGCCCAACCUAAAGCCCUGGGCGCUCGAUCCUCCUCGUCCUCUACUUCCAUUCCCGCAGCAUCAAUAACCACAUACACGAACGAACAAACAAACUGCACCAGACGGACCAUUACCAACACCAAAUUCGUCGCGGAGAAAUCACCAGGCAACGGGACCCGCCACACAACCUGCACUGAUACAUACACUCACCUGCGGGCGUGAUUGAGGAUACCGCACAGCAGAACGGCCCUGGAUGCGAUGCAGCGACGUCAAUCAGCUUCGCAAUUCCCUUCUCCGGCUAACGAAGCGGGAGAGCCAAACUGCCAAAAAGCGCACAGUGACGAUGAUGAAACGAGAGCUAAAAUGAAGAGAAGCAGCAAAAUCGGAAGGAUGGGAAUCGCAAAUUCCAGAACGAAGGGAGUGCGCGAGGAUCGAAGCGCCGGUCAGAAGAGAGGAGUCGCGACCUUGUGGAUUGGGAACGGCGGCGAGAACAUUCGGGGAGCUUCUAGGGAACGAGGGUGCAGCUGUGGGACGAACGAACGGACCAGAUGAAUAAACAAAUAAAACAAUUGUUGGAUGAAUCUCCCGGUUUGGAGUCCCGAUCUUCAAGCACAUGUACCAUUGCGAUUUAUAACGUAUUCAAUAGCAACUUCUAAAUUUUCAUAUCUUGCAUUUUCUCACAGCAUUUUAGCAUGGCUUUGGUAUCUCUCACCACAAAUCUUAUGUUUGUAAAAUAAUGGAUUGGUAUGUUUUGGUCUUCCAGUGUUGUUUUUUUUUUUUUUUUUUUUUUUUUUUCGUUUUUUGUUGUUGUUGUUGUGAGAAUAAUUAUUUAAUUUUCUACCAUUGUAUAUUAUUACAUAUUUAAGGAUAUUUAUAGUAUUUCUUCUUGUAGAUCUUGUAAUUUUGACAUUCUAAUUGUUCAAUUGUAUAAUAUUCUAAAUAUUUGCUAAUUGUAUUUUAUAUAUACCCUUAAAGUCUACUUUGGUUUCUUUACAUAAGUUUAGUUGUGAUUUCUUUUUUUAUUUUAUGCUUAGCAUAUUACUUAGAUCAAAUGAAUUAAUAAUAAAAACUUUGUUUUGAUCAAGGACUAUAUCUUAGCUAUAUACAACAUAAAUUGGAACUAAUUCUCUUACAUUAUCCAUAUUAUGAUUGAAUCCAUGUUUUGCCAAUAAUAUUUUAUUAUAUGCAAAAAAGAAUAUACUAUAUCAUUUUUGAUUGAUUAGAAGAUUUUCUAUGUAUUAAAUCUAGUAUAGUCUUGAGCUUUUGAUUUGAUAUAUUUCUAUCACCUUCACAUUUAUUCUAUAACCAAUGUUAUCUUAGAAUAGGUUAUCAUUCCUUUUUUUUUCAUGAUAUUUUUUUAGAAAGAAGUUAUUUUUUUAUAGAAAUCAUUUUAUUUUAUACCUAAUAAAUCAAUUAUAUUAAAUUAAUUCUAUUUAAUGUAGUCGAUAUUCCAUGUUACAUAGAUAAAUUUAGAAAGUAGAUAAAUAAGAAAUAGAUAUAAAAUAGAAAUAAAUUAAUAUGAUUAUUACAAAUUAUAAAAAAUAUAAAUUUUUUUGAAUAAAUAAUAUAGACUAAAAUUAGACUUGAUAAGAUCAAGAAUUAUCUAAAUCUUACUUCCAUACAUAUUAGCUACCAAAAAGGUCUUAUAAAAGUUUUAAAUAAUAAAUAACUACAUAUGCAAGUAUAUUUACUUAAAUUAGUAGAAUUAAAUUGAAAUAAGUAGAUGUAGGUUAAAUUGUUGAUAUCUUAUUAGUAAGCUUUAUACGUAGGCCACAUAAUCAAUUUAAUACACUUUAGAUAUUAAGAAGUUUUCAUGUUAAUUAAAAUGAAGCAACUUUAGGAUCCUUUUUAAUUAAGUUCUUUAAUUAUUCUAAAGUUUCCUUGAAUUUGUUGGAAUAUUUUGAAAACCUUUUAAAAUCUUCUAUAAUAUUUUUUUUGAAAAUCUUCUAAAUCUUUUAAAAAUCAAAUAGAAUAUUUUAAAAAUAUUUCUAAAAUCUUCUUAUUGGAUGUGUAUAAUAUUAUUUCUCCUUGUAACUCUAAGUUUUACAACGAGCAUUGAUUUUAUAUCUAUAAGAAUUCAAAGAUUUGUUGAAUAGUAGUUGUAACUUAUGUUGCUUAUUGAUUUCUAUUUAAAAGAUAGACUAAUCUAUUUAGAUAGCAAUAAUGGCUACCUUUCUUUUCUUUUAGAAGACCUAUUCUUUAGACUUGGUUAACUUUAAGGCCUUCAAAACAUCCAUGAAAUGUUACUUUAGUCCCAUUAGAGUCUAUUACACCAACUUGCAAUAAAAUAACUAAAGCUUGGAUAUAAUUUUGGAAGUUUUUUUGAUUGAGUUGAAUGUAGCAUGGAUGUUUCUUUCCUUCAAAAAGUCCAGCUUUAUCUUAAGAAUGAUUUUUCGAAGAUUGCAAGAUUUAGAACAAUUCAUCUAGUGGUUAUUAUAAGAAAAGAUCCAAGUCUAGGUCUAGUUCUACUUGAGAUUCAUAAUCUAAAGUCUCUUUUAACACUCUCUAAUUCAAUAUAUUAGCUCAUAAAUUAAAUAGACUAAAUUUUAGUGACAUUGUUGUUAGUGAUAUUUUUUUUAUUUUUUUAUUUUUUAAUAAUAUAACAUCUUAAUAGAAACUUUAUAGAGAAGUUAGCAUAAAAUAGGUUUAUGUUUUUAAGGAUAAUAUUAAUGAAACUCCUAUACCUUCUGUGACAUAUUAAUUAGAUUUUCUAGUGGUUGUUAUGUGUGCUUAUUAAUAUUAUAGCCACUCCAAUGAAUGAAGUAUUUUAACUUUUUUUUUUUUUUAUUUUCCAAAAAUUAAAGAUAUUUUCUAUUUCAUAUUCCACAUGAUUAUCUAUUUCAAUAUAAAGUGGUGAUAGUUGCAUUCUUUAUGGAAUAAUUGAUUUUGUAUAAGCUUCUAAAAAAAACAUAAAAGGCUAGAUGCACCUUCAUGGAUAUGGGUAGUUCUAACUGAUAAGCCAUUGAAUUGAUUUGCUCUUGAAUACAAAAUGGUCUAAAUCUUUGAUAGUCCAAUUUAUCACAAAUCUGAUUAAUUUUGAUAUUUCAUCAAAGAAACCAUAUUUUAUCUUGAACUUAAAAAGCAAGAGUUUUUUUUUUUUUUUUUUUUUUUUUUUUUUUUGAAAUCAUCUAAAGUUGCUUUGUAAGAAUCUUGAGCUACUUAUAAAUAAAGCUUCAAAGUUGUUUGAAUCUAUGAUAAUUUUUUUGCAAGAUUUUUAGCUGCUAGAUUUUCAUCUGUUGAUAUAUCUAAUAAAUCAAGCUUUAGAUGGUAACCAUAAUUAACAUAAAAUAAUGUUUGUUGUUGAAAAAAAGUAUAAAAAAAAUAUUAUUAUAAGUAAACUGUAUUAAAGUUAGAUACAAGGUUUAAUCAUCUUGAUAAUAAGAGACUGUACAUUACAAAUAUUGCGCAAAAUUAGAUUAAUUUUUCUAUAAAACUAUAAAUCAAUUGCCUUCCAAAUAAGCCUAAGUCUUGUAAGGUAAGACUCCCAUCAUAUGUACCAAAAUAUAAGCUAAAAUAAACCUAUACUAAUUGAAAGUUUAUUUUAAAUAAUAAUAAGUAAAUAAAUUAUAUUAAUUUUAGAAAUUAUAGUUAUUAAUCAAAUCUAAAGAAAUUCACUCUUAAUCUUCUUUAAAUACUUAAAUUAUUAAUCAAAAACCUCUAUUAUUAAUUUAUACUUAUAAUAGUAAUUUAUUCAACAUACAUACUCAAUUUCUUUUUAAAAUUCUUGAUUUAAUUUUUUGAUUUAUUAUAUUAUAUUAUAUUAUUUAUUAUUUAUUUCAUAUUAAUUUUUAUCCAUUAAAAAUCAUCUAAAUAUAAUUUAUCAUCCAUGAAUGAUUUUUUUAUCUAUUUUUAAAAUUCAUCUAUACUUAAAAUUUAUCUUUGAUUAAAUUUUCAUCUAACAUCUAUUUACGUAAAAUCCUAAUUUAAUUGGCUUCUAGCUUAACUUCAUUUCAAUCUAAUCUAAGUUCAUCUAUCUACUAAUUUAUUUCUUCAAAAGUACUUUCACUCUAAGGCUAUCACCUUAAGAAUUUAUAUAGAGACUUAGCACAUUAAAGGCAUAGGAGGCGUUGUUCCUUCAGUGUUGAUCUUCUUCAAUCAUAGUUUAUUAUUUUUUUGAACUAACUUUUGAAUAAAGACAUCUUCUUUCAGUUAUUUUUCUUUUUCCACUAAAAUUUUAAUUGCACCUUAUACUUAUUCCUGAUCUUGUUGAUAUGCAAGUAGUGACCAAUACACACAAUUGAUGUAGGCAGUCUAUCACAAUAAGAAUGUGACCAAACAUGAAUACUCCUAGCCUUCUUAUGUUGGAAUCACAACUUAUAUUUCUACUUCAAUGCCCAAAAUCAAAGACUUCAAGAGUACCAAAAUAGAAACAAUUAUAGUGCAAGUUGUGUAUGCAGACUAUAGCCAUUAAUAAUAUUUGUUAUGGAAUCUAGUGAGAAGAUGCACCUUCUUAGGAUGAUUACAAAGAAAUUACAAAUUGAAGUAUGGAUAAGCUCAAAUUAGAUGUAGGCAUUGUCAUAACCCAAUGCAAAUCUAACUCAUUCCUUGAAUUCUUUUAAAAUCAAACUUGCAUCUCAAUUGAAUUGAUUCUUUUUAUAUAUAUAUAAGUCUUAAGAUAUAUCCAUAAUGAUUGUAAAUGCUACUAUAAGAUCUACACAAUGUGGUGUAAAUAUAAUACAUCUACAUCGCAACUAUAUAAAUAGAGAGAGAAAGUAUAAGCUUGUUGCUGUCAAUAAUUCAAUCUAUAUGUCACAAAAGCUCAUUGUAUUCUACUAUCUAAAUAAAAUUGAAAAAGAAUUAUCCUACCAACCAAUGCUCUCCUUGCUAUAGGAAUGAGGCUAAGUAACCACCUUUGAGCUCUGAAUUAUACUCUAAAAUUUAAAUAUUUAUUAUUUUCCUAUUUUAUGAUAAUUAAACAUGUUAGAUUAAGAUUUAUAUAAGUGGAAUUUAGUUUUAUAGAAUUUUUAGGAUUACAACCCUUGAUGGUAUAAAUUAUAGCUUAAUUUCUUGAAUUAGGUUAAUUAGGACUAAAGUAAUAAGAGUUAGAAAAUUAGAAUAACAACUUAGUUAGUUUAAUAAUUUAGAAGUUGUUAGUCAUUACUAUAAGGGUUGACUAAAAGCCUAUGAGUGCAUCUAUAAUCAUUCACAUGAUUUAGGAGUUGGAAUUAUAAUUCUUUAAAAGAUUUAGAGAAGUUAGCAAUGAUAAUUUUGGAUCUUCCUCCCAAUUCGACAAAUUCAAGUGGCAUGGUGGUUCUUCUACUUAAUGGGAGUCUUUUUAAUGCAAUGGUGGCAUUGGAUUUACCUUGUGGAAAGAAGAAAACAAGAUCAGCAACCUCUCCUUCAAAAUAUAAGAGAAGCAAUGAAAUUCUCAUUUUGAAGAAUUUCACAAAAAUUGCCAAGAUCCUUGUAAGUAAAAGCUUCCAUGAAAAUUAUAAUUGAGCAUGGAUUGAGGCAUGUGAGUAGUCGAUCUUAGCUUAAAAAGGUGCUUUGAACACAAUAGUGAAGUUAGAUAUACAAAAAAAUGCUUUCUUUACUACUUACAAGAGCCAUCAGCCUUGGUAACGAGAUUGGCUCUUGGAUGAAUGAAGGCCGUAGAUCUAGAUUAGAGAUCUUAAAAAUCAAGGGUGAAGAUGUAGCCACCCUUCUACGAGCCUCUAUUCAAUUAUAUAAGAGAGGCUUGGUUUUCCAAGCCCUCUCUCUCUCUCUUCUUUUGGAUGAAGGGGGGAGCCAUGCCAAAAUUUGGCCAAAAUCCUAAUCUUAAUUUUAUUUAGGUUUUAAUUCUCAUUGUGAACCUUGUGAUUGUGUAUUUAUGAAUUUUGCAUUGUGAAGGAUGGUCAUUAAGUUUUGAAAUAUAUUUCAUUGAGGUAGAUAUCUCCUCGGCCUUUCAAAUAUCCCAAGCGUUUUAAGGGCCUUGGAUUUUCUUCAAUCAGUCACUCAAUUUCUUUUGUUUCAAUGUGAGAUUUUGAAUAGUUGUAGCUUUUGUUUUUAGCUUUCUGAAAAGAUAAGAUUCGCUUGAUUUGAAGUGAGAAAGAAUUUUUGAUGAAUUUUUGAGUUUGAAGGAGUCGAUUGCCUUUGCAGUUUGAAUCAAUCGAGUUUGGAAAGGCAUUUCGUAGUGCUUGAUAAUUUUCUUUAUUUGAAAUUUUGGAAUCAUCAAGCUUUAUAAGCUAAGCUUUGAAAGGCAUAAUUUUUGUUGAAUUUGAAGACAAUAUGAAUUUUUAGUGAAUUUCUAAGUGAAGAGGGUUGGUCACUACGGCAAUUUGGAUCACUCAACUUCAAAGGAGGAAUUCUCACGACUGGAUCAUUAGAUUGCAACGAAGAUUAUUGGAUCAAAAGUGCCUUCAAGUUAGCCUUGCAACAAGCUAAGAAUCAUUCAAAUUGAAGCCGAUUAUAAAUUUUGGCAAAUUUUGGAGUAGAAGAGGGUCGCUUCCUUCAAUCCUUACGUGUUGUCAAGGUACCUUUACUUUCACCUCUCUUAUUUUAUUUUUAUCAUCAUCUUCACAGUGACUUGUAAUCUCCACAUUUCACUUUUUGGCUAAUAAAUUUUAAGUGUAACUUUUAACCUUUAAUAUUCUCACUUUAACUUUUAACUUUAACUUUUAAACUAAACUUUUAAUUUUAACUUUUCACUUAAUUUUUAAACUUAAUUUUUAACUUAACUUUUUUUUAACUUAACCUUUUAAUUUUAAAUUUUAACUUAACCUUUUAAUCUUAAUUUUUAACUUUAAUAUUUUAGAAUUAACUUUUAACUUAACUUUUAAUUCAAACUUAAGUUUUUAUUCUUAUGGUCAAUUAAUAGCAAUAACUUAGUUAAUUAUUUUUAUUAUAUUUUCAUAGUAAAUUUCAUUUAACAUGUUAAUUUAAUGUUGGUAACCAUUUCUUGGAAGGCCUAAAAUUAAUUGAAUUUUUAAUAUAAAGAUUUAAAUUAAUCUAACAAUUACACAAUUGAGAGCUCUCUAAUUCCACCUCUUGGACUUGUUGUGUGGCAUAGGUUUCAUCAAGUGGUGAAAUUUGGCCUCACAUUUUGGUACGUUUGCCGAAAAAUGGAAAUUGCAUUAUUGUUUGUUUUUGUCUUAUUUAUUUGAUCUUGAUUGAUUUUUAUGUGCAAAGUUUUCUUAAGUCGAUGGUCGUUGGGUUUGACUUAUUGUGAGUGAUAUACAUUAGUCUAUGUGGUUGUUUUAGUUAUCCUUGUUCUAGUUGUUCUUGUUCUAGUUCCAUUGGAUGUCUUGUGUUGCAUUUUUGGUAUUGUCAAGGUGCAUUGAAGUGGAAUAAAUGGUAGUCCUUGAUCUUUGUCAAGGUACGUUUCAAAUAAUUCUUCUUAUUUAAUUCACUUAUAGAUGUUUGAUUUUUUUUAUUAAAAAAAUAAUAAAUAAAAACUUAUCUAGUUAAUUUUUUAUUUUAUUAUGCCUAUGAAAGUGAGAAAAUCAACAAAAGUACAAGUUAUUCCAUUAUCAAGUAGGCUAGUAUAAAGCCCUUGGUGAGCUUCUUUUAUUCUUUGGGUAUUAUCAAGUAGGCAAUGGAAAAGACUUAGUUGAUUACGUAUGGAACAAAGUUUAGCCUUCUUUCUCUUUUAAAUUGGUUUAUCGCUUAAGAUCAAACAAGGCCUUAAUCUUCACCAUCUUCUAUUUUACCUCAAUUCAUCUAAAUGCAACCUUGAUGAACCGAUAGGCCUCAGAUGCCAAAGACAAAUCUUGCUACUUUGGCAAUUGGAUCAAUAGGAAGGCUCAUUAGAUCAAAGGCAAGUUUACAACAAGAAAAUCAAGACUUAAUGGAAUUAGAACAAAGAUUGGGAGUAGAUUUAUCAAGAAUGGCAAGUAGAGAAGUGGAGCCUCAUAUAUCUACUCAACUACCUAUCCCAACUUUUAUACAACAAGUUGGACCAUCACAUAUAUCUACAAUUCCACUAGUGAAUGUGGUAAUUAACUCAAGGCAAGCUUCAGCUUCUCUACCAACGAUGUCAACUACUAUACCAUCUCGACCUUCUCAACUAAGGAUGCUAUCACGAGGACUACCUAUAGUAGUACCUUGAGGAUUUUUUGAGAGGACAAUGCCUCUCAAUUUAUCACAAUUCACGGGAUCUAGAGAUGAGGAUCCUACAACCUAUGUAGACAGAUUUUUGGAAUUAAUGACUUCUUAUAUGGUAUCUAAUAAUGGCUAUUAUUUGAUUUGGUUCCCUACUACAUUAGUAGAAGGUGCAUAUGCGUGAUAUAGGUCCCACAAUAUACAAACAUUCAAGAUACGGGAUGAGUUGUUAGUGGCAUUUUUAGAUCAAUUCCAACUUGGAACAGGACAACAAUAAGCAGUUGCUGUUUUAAGAAGUAUGUGCUAGCAUCCCACAGAGAAAAUUUUGGCAUAUAUAAGGAAUUUUAAAGAAGUCUGUAGUAGAUUUGUAGGUGAUUUGCUCCAUGAUACUACUAUUAGAGAUUACUUUCUUAAAAGACUAUACCGGUCUUGAGUAUCUCGAGAAAUUUGGACGCAUAGGCUACAAACAUUGAAUCAUGCAAUCCGAGUUGCUCUAUUCAUUGAAGAGACUGAAUAAGAAAAUAAAAGGGCUAGGGAUCAAAGUGAAGAUCCAAUUCCUAGCUACCUCCCAAUAAGAUAUGACCCUCAUCUAAUCUAUGCACAAAAUUCUAUGAAAGAUUCAAGACAUGAUAUAAUUAAAUAUAAAAUAUAAAGAUAAAAAUAUAAUUAAAACUAAGAUAAAUAUUUCCAAAUGUAGAAAGAUUGAAAAGUCUUGAAUCGAGAUAGAAUAUAAGAGAAACAUUGACAAGAGUAAAGAAGACAUCAUUUGUGCCUCCAUAUAUACUAUCUAUUAAAGAACUAUACAACAAUGUCUUAUAUGCCAUAUAAUAUAUAUAAUUAUUAAGAUAUAUUAUUAAUUUAUAGAGUGAAUUUUUUUUAUAUAUUUAUUUAUAUGAUUAACAUAUUAUAUAAAUAUCAUGGAUAUAUAUAUAUAUCUACUGUAAUCAUUAUCUAGAUAGGUAAAAUUAAAUAAAAAUAGAUUAAUUUCAUAAUACCUUCUAGGGAAGCUUCUUCGAUGCUGUUUUGACUUUAUAUAUGUUUGUCUUUUAUUGAUAGGUUAGAAACUUGAUCAACAAGCUAGCUAUGUAUGACAUGUAUUGGUAGCUUGCGGAACAAGUUAAUUAUGUGGCGGCUAUAUAGAAAACUUGCCUUGCAAGUCAAGAUAUGUGUCAUCUAAAGUCAACACGUUUUUGGAGGUCCUAUAGAACGUUGCCACAUAGAUCUUAAGUAGAUAGUAUAUAUAAAGGCAAGAGUGAAGCCUUCUUAAUAGAGAGUAGAUUAUUUUUUUUCUUGAAGACAUUUGAGCACUUUAGAGGUUGUGGAUUAUCCUUCUUUAAAUUUAUAUUAUCUAAAAAUUCCUUUUUUUUUUCUUUUAAGAUAGUUGGAAGUAAAGAUAUUAAUAUGGUUGAAUCUAAUGAGUCCAAAUUAGAUAAUAUUACAAAUACAUUGAAUUCUUUAUCUUAUAAAACUAUUAAAAUUGAAGGAUUUUUUGUAAGAUUUCAUAGUAAUGCAAGACUUGGAAUAGUUCAACGUGUAAUGCAAUCACUUUUUCAAACUUCUACAUCCAAGGAGGUGGUGGCAGUUAUACAUCAACAAAAAAAACUUAACUAUUUAAUAACAUAAUGAACCUUAGAUUACUCUUCUAAGAAUAUUUAAUGGCAUAUAUUCUAAGUUUUGAAGAUUUACUAAUCAAAUUUAAUUAAUAACUUUUCUAUAACAUGAGCGCUCUCCAAUAAAAGAAUUGGGAGUUGGUUUAAUUAGAACCUUGUUUACAAAAAAAGACUUAAUUUGGUUUUUUUCUUUAUUUGAAAAAAAAAUCUUCAAUUUUGAAUAACUUUGAAGCUUUUUUUAGAAGCAUUUGAAAAAUAUGUCAAGGCUUGAUGGAUGACAAUAAAGAUUUGAUCAUUGUUAAUCUUAAAAAUUAUAAUUUAUAAAAUAAAGAUAUUAUUUGAUAAAAAAAUGUAUUAUAGAAAAAUAUGAAAAAAUAGACUAAUAUGAAAGAAUAAAAGAAAAAAAUAAAAUUUGAUAUAAAAAAUAAAUUUAUUGAAAAAAGUUUAAAUAAAAUUAGAAAAAAUAAGAAAAUAUGAAAAGACAAAGAAAUUAGCUGCCUAUGUAUUUAAAAGAUAAGUAGAAAAACCAUCUUUAAUAAUUGUGGUACUUAGAGAUAAAUUAGUUUUUAUAUAUUUAACUAUUAUUCGAAAAAUUUACUAUAAAAGCUAUAAAUAGCUUCAAAGCUAUAUUAUUAUGAUAAAAGAAAAUUAUAAUAAAAUAAAAUAUAAUUGACAUGCUUGUAUGUGAUUUUUAUACACUUUUGGUUUAAUAAUAAGUUAUAAGAAUUGCAAGAUAAAAUAAAAAUAUGGAUGUUUGAAGAUUAGAUUGAAAAAAUUAAAAAUAAGAUAAAAUAAAGAUAUAGAUGUAUGAAGACUAGUUUUAAAAAGAUGAAAACAAGAAGAACAAAUAGAUGGUUGAAGAACUAGAUUAAAAAAAAAGAUGAUAUGAUUAAAUCCAUGAAGAUAUGAAUAUUGAAUGAAUAGAUUGAAAAAGACUAGACAAAAUUAAUAAAUAAAAUUAACAUAUAAAUUGAAGAUAAUUUUCAAAUUGAAUUAUCAAACUACAAUUUUGACAAAACUAAGAGCUGUAAAAGAUAAUUACAUGGAUAGUUCUUAUGUAGAAACAUAGAAGGAUACUUGAGAUUUUGAGGUGCAAGAAUCUAGGUGUUUAUUUGGUGACUAUGCUUGAGAUAUGUCGCUAUUUUUGAUAAUUAAGUUUAUAAAAUUUAUAGAAUUCACAGAGUUUUUUUUAUAGAAGAAUGAGUGAUAUUCUUAAAUGGAACUUAUCAACUUUAUAACAAGUAUUAAGAACCAUAAAUGAAGAUAGUACGAAAUAAUUCUAUAUUGUACACCAAAUUAAAAGAAUUUAAUAAAUAAGAUAAAAAAAAACGAAAUAAUAUCUAAUUUUAGUCAAAAAAAGAUAAACAUUCAAGAAGAAUCUAUAUGAAGAAAUGUUGUAUGAAAAAAAACUUUGGCAAUUAAACAAUCAAAAAACGGCAUAAAAUUAAUGACUAUAAAAGUCAGACACUACAUUAAUUAAUGAAUCAAGAAAUUGGAUCUCCUUGAAGUCUAAAAACUCCAAAAAAAAUAAACUAUUAAAUUGAAAUAUAUUUAUAGAAUAUAUAAAUAAAAAGAAGAAAAAAAAGAUAGGCAAAAUGAUAAAAAAAUAACAAUAAAAAAUUAGUUCUUUUAAAAAACUUAAGUUAAAAAACUUAAUUGAUGAUUUAGGUUCUAGUAGUGAAGAUGAUACAAAUUCAAUAAAUAAAUAAAAAAAAGAUUCUUCAAUCAAAGGAAAUUAGUAAAUUUUAUUAUAAGUAUAGAAUCAAGAUAAUUUUUAAUAUAGUCUUUUAGAUUAUUUAUACCAUUGCAACAAAGAGCAAUAACCAAUAUAUCAUUAACUAUUAGACAUAUUAAAGUAAGAUUGCUCAAAUUUAAAGGCAACAGAGAUCCAAAAAUUUACAUCAAAGAAUUUAAUAAUAUUUUUUAAGCUAACAAGGAAACAACAUAUGAAGAUAAAUUAAUUUUUUUUAACACUUAAAAAAAAGGCAUUGGUAUAAUAUGUUUAAUGUACUUUAAGACAAUAUAUUUCUUAAAUGGUCUUAAAAAUGUAUUUAUUAUUUUUUUCAAAGAAAAAAAGAAUGGUAGAAAAGUCAUCAAUAGUCUUUUACAUCUCAAACA
This 63550-nucleotide long non-coding RNA is filed under the name Physcomitrium patens. RNAcentral describes it as "long non-coding RNA (PPAT_LNC011632)". The record is from RNAcentral. Lineage: Eukaryota; Viridiplantae; Streptophyta; Bryopsida; Funariales; Funariaceae.